AGAGCUUGAGAAAACCCAUGACUUCGUAUUCAAAGGCCUGCUCGCCGGGGACGAGCAGCAGGCCUUCAGGGUCAUUGAGGAAGAACUUGUUUUUGUCCAUGACAUGUAUUACACAAGGUACUCUUACCUCUACCAAAAGGGUCGAUACCUGGCUCUUUGUCUGCCUGUCAUCAUGUCUGCCCUAUGCUCGUGGCUCGCAGUGGCCAGCCUGCACAUCAAGCGUACGGACGACCCCUAUCUCAGUAGUCGUCUCAACCGCACUCUGCUGUCUGGCACCAUAGUCAUACCGGUUGUCGUGGCAUUCCUGGAGGCAUACCAGACGUACCUGUACAUGGCCUCAGGUUGGUUCAAGGUGGCUUUGAUACGGAGCUACGUCACCGCACCAUUUUUGCAAACAAGCUGUUGUUCUGAGAUGAUCAUACGUCUUCUCUUGAUGUUGAAGGCGUUUCGCCCAUGGAAGGGCAGACUCGGGCAGUACUGUUUCCUCGAGAGUCUUUGCCGCAAAAGUAAGAUUAUGAAUUGUCUCCAUUAUGCUACACUACGCCUGGUGGACAAGGCCGUGAAGGGGCGCAUGGAAUCAGUAAAGCUGUCCGGAAAUGUGAAGAAAGCCAUCAUUGAUUCCCUACUAGGAAGCAACGGAAACCUGACGAACGGGGUAACAUCGCUACAAAGAAAUGGCGUCCAUGGUGACCUUUCGUGGGCAUGUGAUGCUACUGCUACCGAUGGAGCGGUGAGUCGCACCAUUCUGGUCUGGCACAUUGCUACAACACUGUGUGAGCACCAGCUGGAUAAACAAGGAAAACAAGCAGAGGCGGUUAGAACAGCCUCCACUUUAUCUAAGUACUGCAUGCAACUGCUCGCUUUCGCACCUAACCUCUUACCUGACCACAGCUCUAUAUCGGAAGCCAUACUUGAUGAGUCAAUUGAUAAUGGAGGCGACCCUCGGUGGCAGGGAUUACGAAAGCUACUCGAAGGGUCCAAUGAUCUGGAGAGCAGGUGUAAGGAAUUAUUGAUGUUUAACAUUGAUAAUGGUGAUGGUGGUGAAGCACCGCUUGUUGCACAGGGCGCUCGGCUUGCAAGGCAGAUUGAAGGCAUACAUGACUCGAAAUUGCGGUGGAAGGUCCUCUCUGAUUUCUGGGCGGAGAUGAUGCUGUAUGUCUCGCCGUCUGACGAUGCCCGGACACACCUGGAAGUUCUUCCAAGAGGAGGGGAGUUCAUCACGCACCUUUGGGCGCUGCUCACGCAUGCCGGUGUGCUGAAGCGAGGCCCUACAGAGCCAAAGGAUGUUGUGUGAUCUGUUCAACCAGUGCACAAGUAACACUCCAUAUAUCAACCUAGUGCUUGUAAGUUGUAACAUCCUAUGUAUAUUGCCUACAGUCAUGUAUACCAUGUGUGAGUUAGUCUGUCGAGUCUGUAUCUCUUUUCAUGUUGUGUCUGUUGUCAGAUUUUGGUCAGGAUCGGAGUCUGUAAUUUCGUAAGGGUUUAGUAAAAAUACAUUAAAGUACAUUUCACCUUUAUUUUUCGGAAUAUAUAAUCAGUUAGUCUUAAAUCCAUCAGCACAAUAUAUCAAAACCUCAGUUAAAUUCCACCCGGAUGAACAACCACCAAGGGAUGCUUUUCGUUAAGCUAUAUAUAUAUAGCCUCAGGGCUCUCCAGGACUCCAAACUGUGUACUCUCUUUAUUAUCAGGCUCCCACUCUCCAGGACUCCAAACUGUGUACUGCCGACAUGGCUUUGGCAACAAGUCCCUCACCAAUUCCCACUCCCCAAGAUGAUGAUGUGCUAGCUUUGUUCUACGUGUUAGCUUUGGUCUUCCUGGCCGUGGUGGCCAUAUUCCUCUUGCAUUUACUGGGUCCGCUACGCCGGUGGUUGAGCAAGGGUCUCCUCCAUCACAUCGUGAUGGGAGUCUACGCGCUCUCCUACCCGCUGGUAGGCUACACCAUUGGGCUGAUGCAGUCUGCCAAUUGGUACUUCAACGACUUCACCGUGUGGGCUGUGUUCCUGCUUCUGCUCCUCAGCAGCACGGAUAGCCUCACAGCUUGCCGCCUCAACGACAUCGACAACUGGAAGAACAUCUACGUGAAACAACUCUUUAAGGGGUUCUUGUUGGUGUUUAUCAUUCUAAAGUUUGGCCGUCAGAUGAUGAUGAGGAAUUUGGAUGCCGACUACCUGUGGUACCCGCUCUCAGCCAUCCUGGUCGUUAUCGUCCUCAAGUCAUAUCUGAUGAUAGCUUCCAUGAGGAUGGUGAGCAAGUCUUACCUCGGUAAGAACGUGAAGGUGAUCGCCGAAUACAUGCAGCAUAUAGACAACAGGCUGGUGGUCUUCAAUCCUGUGACCAUGGAAGGCUACCAGUACAUGGUCGCUGGUGAGAAACACUGCGUUAACAGGCCUGGACACACACCAUGGUACAAGAAGCCGGACGACUUGAAGGUUACCACCGUGGAGCAGAUCUGGCAGUGCGAGGGGAAUCUGCUCAUUGGUGAUCAGGGCAAGGUGCUCAAGGACUUGUGCCUCUCUAUGGCUCUCUCCAAGAUGCUCAACCGAAGGUUUGCUGGCUUCAAGCUCUCAGAGGCAGAGCUUGAGAAAACCCACGACUUCGUAUUCAAAGGCCUGCUCGCCGGGGACGAGCAGCGGGCCUUCAGGGUCAUUGAGGAAGAACUUGUUUUUGUCCAUGACAUGUAUUACACAAGGUACUCUUACCUCUACCAAAAGGGUCGAUACCUGGCUCUCUGUCUGCCUGUCAUCAUGUUUGCCCUAUGCUCGUGGCUCACAGUGGCCAGCCUGCACGUCAAGCAUCACGACGACCCCUAUCUCAGUAAUCAUAGCAAUCGCAGUCUGAUGUCUGGCACCAUAGUCAUAACGGUUGUCUUGGCAUUCCUGGAGGCAUACCAGCUGUACCUGUACAUAGCCUCAGGUUGGUUCAAGGUGGCACUGAUACGGAGCUAUGUCGCCGCACCUUUUUUGCAAACAAGCUGUUUCUAUGAGAUGAUCAUACAUCUUCUCUUGAUGUUGAAGGUGUUUCGCCCAUGGAAGGGCAGACUUGGGCAGUACUGUUUCCUCGAGAAUCUUGGCCGCAAAAGUAAGGUUGUGAAUUGUCUCCAUUAUGGUACACUGUGCUUGGUGGACAAGGCCAUGAAGGGAAGCAAGAAAUCAGUGAAGGUCUCCGAAGAUGUGAAGAAAGCCAUCAUUGAUUCCCUACUAGCAAGCAACGGACACCUGACGAACGGGGUAACAUCGCUGCAAAAAAAUGGCGUCCAUGAUGACCUCAAAUGGGCAUGUGAUGCUACUGCUACUGACGGAGCGUUGGCUCGCACCAUUGUGGUCUGGCACAUUGCUACAACCCAGUGCGAGCAGAAGCUGGAUAAACAAGUCAAAGAAGAAGACGCUGUCAAAACAGCCUCCACUUUAUCCAAGUACUGCAUGCACCUCCUUGCUUUCGCACCUAACCUCUUGCCCGACCACAGCUCCAUAUCGGAAUCCAUACUUGAUUAGUCAAUCCACGAAGCAAGCAAGUUACUCAAAGAGGCCAAGGACAAGAAGAUCAAGGGCAAGAACAAGAAGAUCGAGGGCAGGUGUGAGAUACUAAUGCAAAUUAGCACUGAUGAUGAUUGUGUUGAUGAUGAAACAAUUCUUGUUGCGCGGGGCGUUCACCUUGCAAGGCAACUGAUUGAUAACAUACAAGACUUCACAACACGGUGGAAGGUGCUAUCUGAUUUCUGGGCGGAGAUGAUGCUGUAUGUCUCGCCAUCCGACGAUGCUCGGGAGCACCUGGAAGUUCUUGCAAUAGGAGGGGAGUUCAUCACGCACCUUUGGGCGCUGCUCACGCAUGCCGGUGUGCUGAAGCGAGGACCUACAGUGCCAAAGGAUGGUUUGUGACCUCUUUAACAAGUACACACGUAGCAGUCAUUAUAUCUAUCUAGUGCUUGUAACAUUCUAUGUAUGUUGGCACACCAUGUGUGAGUUAGUCUGUCGAGUCUGUAUCUCUUUUCAUGUCGAGUUAGUUUGUCGAGUCUGUAUCUCUUUUCAUGUCGUGUCCGUUGUCAGAUUUUGGGCAGAGUCAGAUCUGGUAAUUUCCGCAAGUUUCCUUAAGAAGAGCGUGUGUUCAGGUUGUUGGACGUGCGCGCGUCUAAGGUGGCCAUUACAGUCGCAAUCUGUUCCAUCGACCACUUGGGCACUCUCUCUCAGUUGCGUCUGUUCGUCUGUCAAUUGAGCAGGUCCUGUUGCAGCAGAGAUUGACCCUGCUACUACAGAAGGGGCGGGGAUCCCCUCCUGAGGAUUCCAGCUCUUUAGGGAGGGGUUCAACCUUGAGGAAGAUGCCAUAGUAGGAAUUCUUGCAUUCAUGUUCGUAACAAUACUGAGUGUUAUGGAAAAAUAUGGUCUUCUUCCUCUUCCCUCUUUGGGGAAGGGAAGCCUUUAUUCUUCGCGGAGUGUAUUGGGGAUAUAGGACUGAAAGCAGUGAUCAAGGACACGACUUGCCUUCUUGGUCUUGCUCCUGCUGUUCAUACUCCUCGAAGGCUUGAUCUUCAAAUCCCUCGAACUGCUGAACGUCUACACGCAUCAGACAAGCACAUACAAGCAAACAAGGGCAUAAAGUAAGAAAACAAUACACCAAUCAAAAUUAAACAGAGAAAACAAGCUUGUAAAAUUGAUCUACGCUUUAAAAACGAACAUGUAGAUAUAAAGAAUGCGAAAAAAGGAGUUAAGAUGCAAAAGAUAUAAUUAAAAUAAGAUCCAGGGGUUUUUCUGCGAGAAUUCAAAACUUUUAGGGUCAAACUGCGAAAAAUUGAGGACUUAUACAUAAUUACGUGUAUAAACUGAAGGUUUAAUGUGCAAAAACGCAACUUAGGAUGGCAGGUUGAUUUUAGAGAAACUCAGGGUCGAAACCGAAAUAAAAUAGGACCAAAACACAAAUGCUUUUGAACUGGAUUGGACUGCGGGUUGAUUUGCAGAAAAGGUGAGGGCUUAAGUGCAAAAGAGGCGCGACGCGGCGCGGUUGACUAGUACGCGAUCUAGUUGACCCGCUGUGGGCCGUCGGAUUUGGAUCCGACGGUCAUGGUCGUCGGCGACACUGAAGCGGUGGCAGAAAAAGGUGGCGGACGGCGACGAGCGGCGGCGCUUUGCCGGAGUUGGCCGAAACAGCGCUCCGGGGUUCGGUUUCGCGCGCGGAUUGCACGAGAUGGAUGCGGGGAACACGACGAACUCAUUUAGGGCUUUGGCGGGGGUUGCGGUGCGACGGAGCUCACUUUUUGGCGGCGGCUUGCGGCGGUGCUGCUAGGGUUUGGAGGGGCGAUGGCUGGGUGCUUGAGGCCGGGGGGGGUGCGGCGGCUUAAAUAGGGGCGUAUGGCGGCGGGAUACGGAUAGGAGAUGGACUCCGCGCGGAGGAAGCGCGCGGCGGUUGCGGGAGGUGGGCGGAGUCCGGGCGCGGUCGGGGAGAAGUCCCGGCCGGGUACGCCUGCCCCACCCGUCAGACCGGUGGAAGGGAGCGGGUCGGCGCUGCUUCGCGGGCCGUGGAGGAAAGGAGAUGGGCCGGUGAGGGAGAAACGUGGCGUGGGCCGGAGGAGCUGAGGGGAGGCGGGGCCGAAAAGGGAGGGAGGUCGGUAUGCUGGCCAGGCCGGCAGAACGGGCCGAGCAAACGAGACGGGCCGACAAGUGAAGGUGGAGCUGGUGGCGCUGGGCCGCAAGGAGUUGGAGCCGGGCUGAAAGAAAAAGGAGGAGGAGAAAGAAUGCAGCCCAAGAGGGGACAGUAAAAGAAAAGAAGAAAAGGAAAAGUUUUGGAAAUUGAAUUUGAGAUUUUGAAUUGGAAUUUGGAUCAAAUACAAUCAACCAAAAAUUAUGCACCAGCAUGAAUGUACAACAAACUCCUAUGAUGAAUUAAUUUAAUUUAGAGAAAAUGAAAAUUAAUAUGCCUAAGAAUUUAAAUGACAUCUUAAUUAAGCAAAUUUUAAUGAAUUUAAAUUAAGCAAAUUUUAAUGAAUUUAAAUUAAGCAAAUUUUAAUGAAUUUAAAUUCUUUAAAAAUUUGGUGUUACAAAUGCCAGGCUUUCGGGUCCGUGCACCCAAGUCCUAACAUGACGGAGAUUCUGGGUACCAUCCUAUGCCAAGUAGCAGAUGGUGCAAUGUCUGCUGGCAGUGGCACCGAACCUGCAGCAGAACAAAAUAUCAUCAACGACAUAUCAAUUUCCCUCUCUGACAAGAGGUACGCAACAUUGCAUCCUGUCCAUUCCCAUUCCCUUUGCGCUUGUCGAACAACCCGUUUGUGUUAUGGUACUAUCCUAAAAAUAGAACAUAUUAUGUUUGGAACGUUAGUCCAACAACCCGUGCAUCCACACAUAUUUUUAGAAAAAGCAUAGAUAAUUGAGCUUUGUGAAAGGCAUAUAAUUUAGUAAUAUUUAGAGGUGAUUAUGUUUUCUAAGUUUUUUACCAUGUUUCUUCUUCCUCCUAUGAUUAUGUGAAAGGUUUUAUGGAGUACUCAACAAAGUUUGCUAGUCCAUUAACCACGCUUUUGCACGGGAUAUAAAUUUUAAAAGAUUCAUAAGUAUUAAAAGCUCAUGGAUAGUUAAUCCGAAGUCUACGAGUAAUUGAGAAAUUGCUUAUCUUUGCUUUGUCUCCUAUUUAUUUAAUUUUUUUAAAACAAUAUAUACCCAUAUAGGUAUUUUCUUAUAAUCUUGUAUGUUGGUGAUUGGUGUUGAUUAAAAAUUACUUUAUAUGCCUUUUAAUUCACAUUCAUAGUCUUUUCAACUUUAGAUGAAACAUUAGUGAAGGACUGAGAUGGGCGACUGGGGGUGAAUAGGAGCCUCCAAUAAUUCUUUUAAAUAAUAAGGCCUAUAUCCCAAUUGCCACCCAAAACGCAUCUCGCUUCUAAUCAUCAAGAUGACACUAGUCAACUCGUGACAAUUUCAUCUUAGGAACGAUUAGAAACACUCGAAAGCGUAGCGGAAGCAAAGAAAAGCAAAACUUCGAAAAGUUUGCACGAGAUAUUGAUCUCAAACACUACCAAAUCAUUACUUGACUAAGCAUGCUUGAAAUAAUUAAUUAAGAAUUAAGCAUGAUUAACAAAGUGACAAAACUACUGAACAAGUAGCUAAUAAACAAGGUAGCACAGAUUAACUAGUAAUAAUUAACUAGCUCAAGUGAUAAAUUAAUAAUUGCAUGAAUUAAAGAACCGAGCAACCAAAGAAAAGCAACUGGGCUGCAGCUUGCUCACCUUGCUGGGCCGCUUGCACACUGCCACGGAAGAGCUCCUAGCUGCUGUGCUGAUGGGCGAGCCUGGUGCUGCACGGACCGGUGUGCUGGGCCGCCUGGCUCCGGCCUGCUACGUUGACAGGUCUGGAUCGCUCGAGCCUAGCCACGGCCUACUGGACUGCUCGGCCGCGCGGCUCCCUCCGGCGUGGCUGGGCUGCCUGGCCACCCGCGCUGGGCCGCCUGCCUGGUCAGCUGCUGCGCAGGCCAGGAAUUUUUUUAUUUUUAUAUUAUAAUAAAUAGUCGAAUAAAAAAUUUGUAAAAAUAGACGUUCGCUGCCGGAUCAAAUGGUGGUAAGAUCGCUUUUGCCGUAUGAAACGGAGGAAGGGUACCGGCCGCCACGUGCUGCCCUCCCUCGCCGGCUGAAAUGGUGGUAAGGACUCUUCCGCCAUUUCAACCAGUGAGGCAGCCCGGGUUGGCGACCUAUAGCCGGUUGAAACGGCUAUAACGACCCCUUCAGUUAUUUUCCCUUCAUUUUUCUGACUUUUAUCAAUUAUUUUUCCUUUAUUGUUUUAUUAUUUCAAUUAUAUAGUUGUAUCGCAAUACUUAACUUAGUAAUUUGAGGUUAUACCUCUAUCUUGAAUAUUGUUCCUUUAAAUUUUUAUAUGACAUUUUUUUAGAGAGGUAGAGUGAUUGCACGAAAUCAUUGAAAAUCAUGAAAUUCCGGCCUACGUAAAGUAGUCUGUGGAUACAAUUGUACAAUCAUGCGCGUUACAAUUGUACACAUGAUAGCUUGUACCGGCGUACAAAAGAUAAAAGAGGUCCUACAUACUAAAUGUGUUCUCGCUUGAAACGAAGCUGCCACCUCCCCCUCCCCGACCACGACCACGCCUCGCUGCCCACUGCGCUGCUCUGGUCUGCUGCUGGUCGUACGUCAAGAGCUCUCGUGGGGCAACGUUGCAAGGCGGACGUCCUACUGCGGCUGCAGAUGGUGUCCCGAGCUCCUGGGUCGCGUCCUGUGUAGGAGCCUUCGGGGCCUCACGCAACUACGAGGCACCGAUCACGUCAGGCUUAGGUCCGAAAAGAUUGUCCACCCAUGCAUGGAAGCCUGACAAGAUUGUCCACCCAUGCAUGGAUGUUGGACCUCUGUCCCUCCUCCUCGACGGAGUCCUCCGGAGCCUCUCCGUGGUCUGCGAACCCUGUUAUGCAACUAAGGAAAUGAUAUUGUUGGUUUCGUUGCAUAUUUAAAAUGGAAUAGAAAACAUGUAUUCGUUGUGCACCGAAGCGGUGUAGCUCUAUGCCUGGUGGUGCUAAAGAAGGCCCCGCUCCACUGUAAGCUCCGUACAUCUGCGGGCUGUGUUAAUAAAUUAUUAUUUAGUAAGGUGAAUUGAAAAAUAUUUCGUAAAUGGUGUACGACAAAAUAACGUACCGAAAGUGCAUUUCAAGUUUACCCCAAGAUGUGAUAAGAUGGUAUGGAUGUAAAAGUUUCUAUGCACCUUUUUUUAUAGGUACCUGGUAAUAAUCGAUGACAUUUGGCAUUGGGAAGAAUGGGAAGUCAUCCGAAAAGCUCUUUCCAAGAAUAAUAUGGGCUCUAAAAUAAUCAUGACGACUCGUGUCAAGGCUUUAGCUGACAAAUGUCGAACUGAACAAGGUGCACAUGUGUAUACACAGAGUUUUCAUCACGAGGACGCUAAAAGACUAUCAGACAUGAUACUGAACAAGUCUGUCGGAAGAGACAUACUUGAAGCCAAUGCGGAGUGGCUACCCAGAAAGAUUGUGCAUACGAGUGGUUUGAUGCCACUAGCAAUAAUCUGUUUGUCGUCAGCAUGGGCAGAGAGCCAUGGGCAAGACGACGACUAUGGGGAAUAUUGGUAUAUUUGGGUAAGUGAAGUGCUGAUGGAUAGGUUUCUGAGUACUCCAUCCUUGAAACCACUACUCCAGAGUUUAUGCCUUGUUUUCGACGAUCUUCCCGUUGAGCUGAGGACUUGCUUGCUGUACUGCAGCAUAUACCCUCUGGGUUACUUGAUUCAAAGGGGUUGCUUGGUCAGAAAAUGGAUACCCGAAAGAUUUGUUUCGCAACAAGAAGUAUCAGAAGCUUACUUUGACAAGCUUGUUUCUAGGAAUCUAUUGCAGCCGGUACCCAAAUACCAGAUCUUUUACAUUUCCACCCCAUAAUGAUAGCCUUCCUUGUAUGCAGAGCAAAAGAAGAUAAUUUUGUUGCUUGUCGGCAGCACAACAAUGGCCGCGGUAGCUCCUCGCACGCCAAACAGAUCCGUCGCCUUUCUCUCGACACGGAUUGCAUUCCAGAUGAGGAUGUAGUAUCUCAUAUUCGCUCCCUUGCUGUUCUUAGUGACCAACCCCACAUUGGUGUCCCCUUGAAGAAGUUUAAAAACCUGCGAGUGCUAGAAAUUGACAGCUGUAAACGUCUAGAGAACUUUUCUCUGGUGGAUAUAUGCGGGCUGAUCUGGCUGCGGUAUCUGGGUCUCAACGGCUGCCUUGAAAUCACAGAGAUCCCACGGGAGAUUUGGAGACUGCAGAAUCUGGAGACGCUAGAGGUGAGGAACACAGGUAUUUGUAAACUACCCAUGGAAAUUGGGACACUGGUGCAUUUAAGGACUCUGAAUGUAAGUGGCACAAUGGUCACAGAGGUUCCAAGGGAAAUCACCGGACUUUCUCGUUUGGAGAAUCUGGAUGUAAGCUCGACAGGGCUGAAAGAGUUGCCUAAGGAAGUAGGAAAACUACAGGAGUUGAGGACUCUGGACAUUAGAGUGACUAAAGUCAGAGAGCUACCCCGCAGGGAAAUUCCAAAUUCUUUUUUAAGUGUGGUCGGCCACUUUGAUUCGAGUUCUGGUCGAGUGGUGAAGUUGCCUCUGGGUGUCUUCAGAUCAAGUGGUGAUGAACAGGUUAUUUCCUCUUCUGGAGCAAAUUUCAGGGAGAGCCUAUCCAUCCUCGUGCUCUUUAAUCAUCUCUACAAGAGGUGUGAAGUUCUUCCAGUUCCGAUGCAUAGAGUUGCCGGGAGACACAUGAAAGUCCCGCAGUGGGUCAAGCAAGACUUGUGCAAUGUCUGCUCCUUAGAUAUCAGUCUCUGCAAACUGGUGGAGGAAGACCUCGAGUUUCUGAAGACGCAGAUGCCCAACCUGCAGGCUCUCCAACUAAGGUUCGAGGUCCUCCCACGGGAGCCGGUUGCCAUCACUGGUGGAGGGUUCUUGAAGCUAGAGACGUUCUACGUCGAUUGCCGUCUGCCACGGGUGAUCACCUUCUGGGAAGGAGCGAUGCCGAAGCUGAAACAUCUUGAGUUCAAGUUCUACACCGGCACGGCAAGGCAACACUACUCCAUGGGAAUCAGGCAUCUCGACAGCCUUGAGAAGGUCGUGUUCCGAUGCUCCGAGUACUAUACAAGUCACGGUCCGGGCAUCCGCGAGACAAUUGAUGUACUGAGAAAAGAAGCUGCGGAGCAUCCCAACAAGAUCACCCUUUGGGUCAAUAACAUGAAACCUGAGGUUUUCCUCAAGACAAUUGAUGUACCCUUUAAAGAAUGGAAACGUGAACAACGUCUUCGACUAUCGACGGCAGCAGAGGUGCGAGCUCAGCGGGACAAAAACAACGCAAGGGCUGGAACUGAAAAGAAAAUUCAAGAAAGGAAAAGCAAUCUUGAAAUCAGGGAACGACGAUUGAGGGAAGCAGAGCGCUACUAUAACAUAUAAUAAUUGCUGCAAUAAUGGAUUUACGUUUUAUGCACUUGUUCGCUGGGCCUAAACAAAAACAUAUUAUAUCUUUUUUUUUCAAAAUCGGACCUUCCUUCUCCAUGACUCUAUGUGACAUUAUCUGUACGCACACUUGAUUGUCAUUAUUUUUCCAGUUUAGUUUCUCUUCGUCAUAUGCAGCGCUAGCUUGCACCAUGCAUGCGCACACUAAACAUUCCGUAUGCCUUGUUCCUAGCAACUUAUCCGUCCAAUCAUUCAGAUAAAAGUCGUCACCAUGUGAGUAUGAUUCACGCUAGUGAUCCAGUUCUGUUAAUUAUUUGCUUCCGUAUUAAAUAGAGUUUUAAAAUAUUUAAAGUUCAUUAAGUAAUAAACUAAGGGAAAAAACCGAACUGAAUUUAUUUAAUAACACUUGGAAGCUGUUCUAAGAGGGAUAGAGGGAUAAUAAAUAACUUAAUUUGAAAUUAUGUAUUUCAAAAUAUGUAGCACUUGAUCUUGUAAAUAUUAAACUAAACCUUAUAUAGUGUGCUUGUUGAGUUUCGUAACAUUUAAAGUUCAAACGCUAUUUUUAUUGAGAUGUUCCAAGUAGGUAUAUUUAACUAAACCCUAAGCAGGAUAUAGGAAUAAUAAAUAGCCUACUCUAAAAUUUAGAAAUUUCAAAAUAUAUGGCACUUUGGAACAUGCACACCAUAGUGUCACGCAAUGAAAAUAUUUGUUUGGAGGGGUUGUUUUUAAAAUAUUAUUAAAAAUGGUUAAAUUAAAAAAAUUUGCUUAUGUUUGGUUCUGCUCUAGGCAUGGCCGCAAUGUGCGAAUCCUCUCUCUGUUGGAGGGAUUGGAUGGAUGCUGCCGAUGAGACAAGGAAUUGAAACGGGCCAAAAUAAGUUCUCCUAUGAAGCGGGUCUGGGCCUAGUCAUCUCCGCCUGAGUGAACAGGGCUGCCCGCCAGUCCAAGAAUGAAACUCUCUCUGCACUGGGGUCGCAGAAGAAGAUGACGCGUGCAGCCGCGUCAAUGCUUUUCUGUUUUGCAUAUAUACCUCCUCAUCAAAAUACUGUGUACUGAUCCAUAUAAGCACGUAAAAGACUAAUCUAAUAAAAAAAGACAGCACAAUUAUUCAACUUGUCGCGAUCAGAUAAUUAUGCACAGCGCAAUUAUUAAUCGGAAUGGGUCUAUCGAUUAUUCGAUUUGCAAGAUGGCGCUGCUCGAGGAAAGCAUGACCGGAUUAUACCUAGCAUCCUGAACGGAAAAUGGUGGUGCAGAUGCUGAUGCAGAGCACUCUGCCUUGACAUGGAAUGGUACAGAGCUGAGCUCCCGUCUCGGAUUAGUUCCCUUCUCGGAUUUGUAUCUCGUGCGCAGGAGCCUGAGACCAGAUCGAAUUCGUUUCGGCUUCAAGCGGGCCUGGCCCUGGUCUUCUGUCUAAGGCCCGCUUAUAUAUAGAAAGAUAAAAAACGCAAUGAUCUUGGAUUCUUCGUUAAAGCUAACCCUCAGGAGAUCGUCAUCAGGUACCAAAAAGGGUCAAGUUAAAGAUUUAAGGUAAUUCUUCCUGCCUCCUCAUCAGAUGAAAUUUAGGUGCACAGCUUGACGGUCCCCAUGUUCUCACUUGGCCUUGUGCUGCCGUCACUUUUGUUCAGUGUUUUCCAUCUUCAGCUCAUCUGUACACAACUACAGACAUUAGUUUGACACUUUUUGCUAUCCUUGCACAACUGGCGGCAUAAUGAACGCUCCAGUAGUGUUCUUGUGCAGUCACACAGCUAGUGCUUCAUUCAUGUAUUUAUAACCCCAACAAACACUGGAACGAUGUAGCUAGCAGCUCCAGCCAUACAUGAUAGAACGCGAAACACUAAUCAAUAAACAACCAAAAAAAAAACCUCAGCCUAUUUUGGUCGAACACAACAUCUAACCACAAAUUAUUGUCGCCUUCCGAUCCCCGGUCCGUCGCCACCUCCCCGGCCGAAUGAAGAGGCACUCGAUGCUAAGACUGUUGACGAAGAGGCACUCGAUGCUCCCACUGCUACAAAAGCUGAGGUUAAAACAGAACCUGAGAAUCGGGAGGAUGAGAAAACUAGCAAGCAUUUAGGGAGGAGCAGUGCUAGUUCGAACCAAGGAAGCACGAACGGUUAUGCCUCAGCAGCACCAGGCCUUAACGAACAGGAAGCCAACUCUGCAUUGAAAAUCAUGCACGAGUUAUCUGAUCAUCAGUUGGAGCAAAUAGAGAAGCACCUGGAUUCCAGCACCCAUGUUGCUGCCGUGAACUGUCCACAGCAAACUCAAAUGGUUAUGGUUUCCAUGCCUGGCUAUACUUUGGGAGAACACGCAGGUCGCAGCCAAAGGCAGUACCACGUCGAUGGUCAGGGGAACAUGUGGAUCAACUACGCCGCGAACAGCCACAUGGAUGGGAGAGUCAUGACACAGGCGGCGGGUCUGCAAACUGCGCAUUUGUUGCCAGGUCCCGUCUCCGUCCCCGUGCCUGUUCCUGAGAACAACUUGGCAGGUGUUGAAGUUGGUCCAGCUCCAGGAUGGAAAUGGGACACCGCUGAACGCGUACUGAUAUGCGACAUGGGCGAUGCCCCAGGUCUCAGACUGCCAGAAGAGGUGCUGCACCCCCGACUUUUUUUUAUUUUGACCCUUUUUGCGAAAAAAUUUCAUAAAUAGGUCCCUGAUGAAACCAAUUCCAAAAAUGGACCCUUAGCUUGGCACCAGGAUGGCUGGCACCAAGCUAUAACGUUUGGCGCCAGCCUCCAUGGCGCCAAGGUCCGCGCACCGCGCCUCCACCGUGGCGCCUGGCCUCUGACGUGGCGCAAAGGUUUGGCGCCAAGAUCUAUGGCGCCAGCCUUGGCGCCAUAGAUCUUGGCGCCACCGACGCCAAGCCUUUUAACUACGGCGCCACCCUUCCUUUACGCGGCCCUUUCUUUCUUCCACCAUUCCACGACUUAGUUGCGCCGCCACCACCGUCCGCUCGCGUCGCCGCCGCCCCGCCUGCCCCCACCCCCGGCCAGCUCAAGCGCCCGCCGCCGCCCGCGCGGAGAGGAGGCCGGCCGGCGCCCGAAGCCGCCCCCGACCGUCGGCGCCGAGCUCACCCUCGAUCGGCCGGCUGUUGCCGCGCCUGGCGCUCGCCCCGGUUGCUCCUGCGCCCGUCGCCGACUUGCUGGAAGGCCGCCCGCUGACCGCCNNNNNNNNNNNNNNNNNNNNNNNNNNNNNNNNNNNNNNNNNNNNNNNNNNNNNNNNNNNNNNNNNNNNNNNNNNNNNNNNNNNNNNNNNNNNNNNNNNNNNNNNNNNNNNNNNNNNNNNNNNNNNNNNNNNNNNNNNNNNNNNNNNNNNNNNNNNNNNNNNNNNNNNNNNNNNNNNNNNNNNNNNNNNNNNNNNNNNNNNNNNNNNNNNNNNNNNNNNNNNNNNNNNNNNNNNNNNNNNNNNNNNNNNNNNNNNNNNNNNNNNNNNNNNNNNNNNNNNNNNNNNNNNNNNNNNNNNNNNNNNNNNNNNNNNNNNNNNNNNNNNNNNNNNNNNNNNNNNNNNNNNNNNNNNNNNNNNNNNNNNNNNNNNNNNNNNNNNNNNNNNNNNNNNNNNNNNNNNNNNNNNNNNNNNNNNNNNNNNNNNNNNNNNNNNNNNNNNNNNNNNNNNNNNNNNNNNNNNNNNNNNNNNNNNNNNNNNNNNNNNNNNNNNNNNNNNNNNNNNNNNNNNNNNNNNNNNNNNNNNNNNNNNNNNNNNNNNNNNNNNNNNNNNNNNNNNNNNNNNNNNNNNNNNNNNNNNNNNNNNNNNNNNNNNNNNNNNNNNNNNNNNNNNNNNNNNNNNNNNNNNNNNNNNNNNNNNNNNNNNNNNNNNNNNNNNNNNNNNNNNNNNNNNNNNNNNNNNNNNNNNNNNNNNNNNNNNNNNNNNNNNNNNNNNNNNNNNNNNNNNNNNNNNNNNNNNNNNNNNNNNNNNNNNNNNNNNNNNNNNNNNNNNNNNNNNNNNNNNNNNNNNNNNNNNNNNNNNNNNNNNNNNNNNNNNNNNNNNNNNNNNNNNNNNNNNNNNNNNNNNNNNNNNNNNNNNNNNNNNNNNNNNNNNNNNNNNNNNNNNNNNNNNNNNNNNNNNNNNNNNNNNNNNNNNNNNNNNNNNNNNNNNNNNNNNNNNNNNNNNNNNNNNNNNNNNNNNNNNNNNNNNNNNNNNNNNNNNNNNNNNNNNNNNNNNNNNNNNNNNNNNNNNNNNNNNNNNNNNNNNNNNNNNNNNNNNNNNNNNNNNNNNNNNNNNNNNNNNNNNNNNNNNNNNNNNNNNNNNNNNNNNNNNNNNNNNNNNNNNNNNNNNNNNNNNNNNNNNNNNNNNNNNNNNNNNNNNNNNNNNNNNNNNNNNNNNNNNNNNNNNNNNNNNNNNNNNNNNNNNNNNNNNNNNNNNNNNNNNNNNNNNNNNNNNNNNNNNNNNNNNNNNNNNNNNNNNNNNNNNNNNNNNNNNNNNNNNNNNNNNNNNNNNNNNNNNNNNNNNNNNNNNNNNNNNNNNNNNNNNNNNNNNNNNNNNNNNNNNNNNNNNNNNNNNNNNNNNNNNNNNNNNNNNNNNNNNNNNNNNNNNNNNNNNNNNNNNNNNNNNNNNNNNNNNNNGGGUUUGGCGCCCGCCGCCGCUCGCCUGAGGCCUUGCCCGCGAGGAGAGGAGGCCGGCCGGUGCCCGAAGCCGCCCCCGACCGGCCCGCUCAAGCCCGCCCCCGACCGCCCGGCCGCCGCCCCGCCCGUCCUCGCCCCCGGCCGGCUCCAGCGCCCGCCGCCGCCCGCCAGAGGCCGCCCGCCGCCGCCCGCGCGGAGGCCGGCCGGUGCCCGAGCCCACCCCCGCUGUUGUGCCCCUCCGGCCGGGCCCCCGCGCCCGUCCUGCCAGGAAGGCGGCCGCCUCGCCUAGGCCCCCACAGCCAGCCCACCAGGAAGGCGCCCACCUCCGGCCAGAGGCUGCCCGCGGCCUCCCCGCCCCCGACGUUGUGCGCCCUCCCUGCCCGGCGCCCGACCUCCGCCGGUGUGAAGGACUCAGGUAGAAUCUAGCUAGAAUUUAGAUUGUUAGGUAGAAUUUAGAUAGGUAGAUGAAAAUAGUUAGAUAGAUAAAUUAGAAUUAGAUUGUUAGGUAGAAUUUAGAUAGGUAGGUAGAAUUGGUAGAUGAAAUAGUUAGAUACAUAAAUUAGAAUAGUUAGGUAGGAUUGUUAGAUAUGAAAACUAAUUUAUUUUGGUAACUUAUUUUUAUUUUUAUGAAUUGCAAUGAUAGAAGGAAUAGAGAAUGCUUGUGACACUAUUUAACUAGAUGGAUGUCCAAUUUUGUUUACGUAGUUAGAUGUAUAGUUAGUUACAUAGUAAACUAGUUAUUAUGAUAUUUUGUUAAGUAGUUGCACAUAUUAGGUGAUAUAGUUAGCUAGUUUUAUGAUAUAGUUAGCUAGUUGUAUGAUAUAGUUAGUUAGUUGUAUUUAGUAGUUAGUAGUCAAUUGAUACUAUCUCAUUUCAUACUAGAGAUCUUGUACUUAGAAUGCUUCAUUUAUUAUGCACUAAAUGAAUUGUGCGUCGUUAUAUUGAUGUACUAGAUGGAGAACGUAGUGAGCAUAUAUCACGGAGGCACCGUGGAAAAGGAUGAAUAUGGAUGUGUUAAGUUUGUUGCCAUGCAGUGCGAGGUUGUGAUAUUUGAUGAGAAACCUUCGUUUAGUGAGUUGCUUUCAAGGGCUCGGGAGGAGCUACAUUGUCAUGGAGAUGAUGAAAUCACAGUCGAGGGCAUACUUCACCUAGGUUCCCCUCUCAACAUUCAAAAGAAGAUGGUCCCAAUUCGGUGUGCAGGCCAGUGGGAAAAAUAUGUGAGAACGGUUAUGAAUGGUCAUUCCCCAAGUGUUGAAGUGGUUGUUUGUCGGGUGGGAGUUGAUCCAAAUCCUUGUCGGUUUUCCCGACCAAUGGGUCAACUGGUACACUUCGAUCCUCCCGUCCCAGAACCUGUUAUGGACGUGGAUGUUGCACCUACUAUUCCCGAUGUUGAAUCUGCCUCCAAUGAAGUAGUUGGACAUGGUUGUCGGAUUGUUGAUGAUGUGGCGAUGCCCCGGUUCUCAGUACUGCCAGAAGAGGUGCUGCACCCACUCAGAAUGCGCUUAGGGUCGGCCAAAUGGAUGUGAUGCUCGGCGUGCAAGCCACGGGAGGCAUGGCGUACGGAGCUGCCACUGCUGCUGUGAACCCUGAGGUCUUGUACCACGCAGGUCCGGAGCUUGAGCAGCUGAACCCUGCAUGGUUCCCCCACGUCCAGCACGACGGCAUGCACCACCACGGAGGAAGCGGUGGCACCGGCGUGUACUUGCUGGGGAUGGACGGUGGCGCUGGCGCGCACGCUCACGGCGGCGGCGGCUAUAUGACUGGACCACCAAUGGUAGGCCCCGUGCACCCUGAGUAUGAGCUGAUGCCUGCAGUUGUGUCCCCUGUUGCUGUCUGGAGCGAUGGGGGGAGCGCCAUGGUGCCUGCAUUAGGGCAUCCGGCUGAGACUUGGGGACCGGCGUACGUGGAGCACGUGUACUAUGCCUGAUCGCCUGAUUUGCAGUUGCAACGCUUGUCGCAUUGUCUGAAAAUUAGCAUCUCUUGUUGUGUUUUGCACUUUUGCUUGACUCACAACUCUGCCCUGGCUAUGCUUGGAGGCUGUACAACUCUGCCCUGUCUAUAUCACUUUGUCUAUCAGCGAAUGUGCGGCGCGUGAAUGUUUCGGAGCAUCUAUUGCGUAUGAUAUCUUUAACGAUUUGGAGUUGGAGCAUCCGUUUGCUCUGUUUUUUUUCUUCCAACUUCAAUUCAGUCUUGUAACGACGCUGCAGCGUGCUCGCUUCUAGGAUGGAUUCUGUGUCACCUUUGCGGCCUUAUCAUGUAUGGUACCUGAACGAAAUUCGUGUGCUAUUUUGUUAGCUGAAUUAUCGUGAAGAAGCAGAACGAACCUAGGUAAAAGCCGGGGCAUUCCUUUGGCCGGAAUCUGAAACGGGAACCGGGGCAUGGCCAGAGGCUUCGGUGCAGAGCCCAGCUUCGACGCAGCGAAUACCUACCCCCCCAGCUCGACUCCGGCGUCCGCUCGUGGCCGCCGGCGUGACCAGUGACGAUGUGGGCCAGCACAUAUAAGCACGGGGCGUUGCGAGGCGGCAUGGGAAUGGUUACAGAGUGGAUCGAUUGAGCACCACAGCUCCCAUCCCCACAUGUAAGAAUUAUUGCUAUCAAACAAAUGUAGUAACUAUGGAUAUAUGAGGGCAUGCGAGUGGAUUCUGUGAAGCUUGAAGGCGUAUUGAUCAGUUGAUUUUGUCAUGCUCAUCCACAGAGAGGAACAAAUACUUCAAGAAGCUUGUGUGGUAGUUCUGCUAAUUAAGGAUACAUCAUCUAAUUUUCUGGACAUGGUCAGGAGGGUAGUCAUCUACACUCUCCAGCUGAGUUUUUGUCAGUUAUUGUCAUAAAAAUAUGAAAAAAGUUGGGAAGUUGAACCUUUUUCCAACAUCUCACCGCAAGCGCAUGCGACAACUGCUGAAGUCCAGGUAUGUAGUAGUCAUUCUACAAGUGCUGAAUGUGCCCUGAGAUCUUUAUAAAGAUGAACCAGUACUUUGCACUUUUUUUAGAAACUUGCACAAAGUCUAAUUGGAUAUUUGGGGUAGGCAAGUGUGCAUUAAUGAUAAAUUUGGAUUCGAUUAAUGGAAGGUAAAUAUUACCUUAUCUCCCAAAACAAUGAACAUGCCUGUUAUCAUGGGCAUUAGGCUAGUCCCAAUGCAAGGUUUCAUUGCACUAUUUUCAAGGAUGCCACAUCAUCUCAUGAGGUGUAUUCUCAUGAAUGAAAUCGGGAGUCCCAGUGCACAGUUUCAUUUCACGAUUUCAUAGGAUGCCCAUGACAUUUAAUUGUGAGGCAUGUGAUUGGAUAUGGUUAGAUAAAAUGAAACUCUAUAGCCCCCAAUGCAAGUUUCAAUAGGUUUCAUAGUCUUGGAAACAGUGUAUACACAGUUUCAUCCUGAUGAAACUCCUUCCCUCUCUCACUUCAUAACUAUUAUGCCAUGUCAUCAUAUAUGCUGAUGUGUUACCGUAUUUAAUGUGCAUGAAACCUCUAUGAAACUCCCACUGGGAUUAGCCUCAGGAUGAAACUGUGUAUACACUGUUUCCAAGACUAUGAAAUGUCAUCUCUGGAUGAUGCAACCAAAUUAAUGUAUAUAUGUCCGGUAAUUAACGUUGUGUUUAAAUUUUUUCGGUGCCGGCAAAACAAGGCGUCUCCAAAAGGUAUGUCUUUUAGUCACCGUGUCACUGUAACAUUAAUCAGUUUAACAUUCAAAUGAGUGAAGGGCAUCUUAGCAUGGUAAUUUCAUGCCUACUUGGCACUUUUGGCAACGUGCAAGAGUUUUUUUGUCUUCGAUUCCGGAGCCAUACUAGCGCACGCGAUCCGUGGGCCUCGCAAUUCUAUGCAUAUAUUAAGUAAGGUACAGGCACAGUUGCUUUUCAAAAAGCAACUGCUCUGCAAAUAAUCGUUGAUGACUUCACCAAGUCAACGUCUUCGUCUUAGCCGGGCGCUCAUUCCACUAGCAAGGUACUAAGCAGUCAUCUCUAGUCCAAAACUCAAGUAUCCUUGCUGCUAUCAGUGAUCCCUGCUUGUUUGCUUUCUCUUUUUGACCUUUUCCAAGUCCAAAUGCUCCACAUGCUUUGCCUGAAAGAGGGCACUGCUUGGAAUGUGGACUUAUUGUAUGGACAUGUUGCCUCGGCCAUUCCACUAAACAAUGAUUUUUAUGAAAAAUCCCAAAAGGUGUGAGUUUUCGUGUUAAGUCUAAAAUGAACCUUCGCAUAGUCCCAGGUCUGGUCAGCACAGAUUGACGACUGUGAGGGUCGGAGACCCUAUUGAUAUAUUUGCUUCGUGCAAACUUUCCUGGGGUAAUAUCCGCGAGGCGUAUGAUAGUAACCUUAUUUGGAUCCUAGUAUAUUUGUGGAUGGACCUUGAUAUAUAGCUAGUAAACACUAGUAGGGUCAGCAAAGCAAUACAAUUAAUGCUCAUGUGUUAUGAUUCCUUCUACUACUUGUUUAAGACUCCAUGACACUGAAGAUAAUUUUAGGAUGUUCAUUCCAUAUAUACCCACUUGCCACACUUUAGCACAACCUGUAUGACCUUUAACCUAAUCAUGCGACAGAAUGAUCACUUUAUAGCACCAAACUGAAAUUUGAUACAUUGACCUCACAGAAGUCGUCGUCUAAUCCUGAGGCUGAAUCGACUUAACCUUUAAAUACCACCCCAUCAGUACUGGUUCAAUAUGGUAUUAUAUUUGUAGUUUGAUUAAUGGCACAUAUAGUAUUACGUCUUGGAAUGAUUGAUGGACAUACGGAUAGUUUUGUAUGUAUAAGGUUGUUGAAGUGAUAAAAAUAUUAAGUCAUCGUGCAUAUACAACGGUCGGUAAAGACAUCUCGAACGCCAAAAUCAUCAAUCUUUUGUGUGUGUUUGUGUAUAUAUAGUACUUUAUUACAUCUUUGUAAUAUCAUCAGAUUAAAUCUAGCUUUGUCCAUAUAGUCUCCAAAAGGCAUGUCUAGUCAUGGUCACUCUAACGAAACUACCUGCACGGUGAAGUCUUCAAGCCCUGAGUCGCUACGAGAGCCUCCGAUCAGUGAGCCUCGCAAGUCUAUAUACCCAAUCAUGCAUGCGAUAGGUCGAAUGCCACUAUAGUUAGCACUUUAUAUAACCAAACUGAAUUUGAUACCUUGAGCUAUGGUUAGUUUACACCUAAUCCCAAGGUUAAGUACCACCUAUACCUAGGUUCAUUGCAUUUUUCCACGAGCAAAGUACAGCGUUAACAAAUUGAGUGUUUUGGAAUCAAUGCUCCACGCAUCUCUUCAAGUUGAAGGGUGGCUUCAACUUGUGCCGUGAGCAAGUUUAUUUAAUGAACUAAGUUGAAACACUGCAUCAACCGGCGUGGACGCACACCAUGGUACGAGCAGGAAGACUUGAAGGUUACCACCGUGGACCAGAUCUGGCACUGCAAGGGAAAUCUGCUCACCGAUGAUCGGGGUAAUGCGCUCAAGGACUUGUGCCUCUCUAUGGCACUCUCAAAGAUGCUCAACCGAAGGUUUGAUGGGUUCAAGCUCUCUAAGGCAGAGCUUCAGAAAACCCAUGACUUCGUCUUCAAAGGCCUUCUCGCCGGGGACGAGCCACAUCUGCGGGCCUUCAGGGUUAUUGAGGAGGAGCUUGUUUUUGUCCAUGACAUGUAUUACACAAGGUACUCUUACCUUUACCAAAAGGGUAAAUACCUGGCUCUCUGUCUGCCUGUCAUCAUGAUUGCCCUAUGCUCGUGGCUCACAGUAGCCUGCCUGGACGUCAAGUAUCAGGACGACCGUUAUCGCAGUAAUCAUGGCAAGCGCAGUCUGAUGUCUGAAACCAUAGUCAUAAUGGUUGUCUUGGCAUUCCUGGAGGUAUACCAGCUGUACCUGUACAUAGCCUCAGGUUGGUUUAAGGUGGCACUGAUACGGAGCUACGUCGCCGCACCUUAUUUCCAAACAAGCUGUUUCUCCGAGAUGAUCAUACGUCUUCUCUUGAUAUGGAAGGCGUUUCGCCCAUGGAAGGGCAGACUUGGGCAGUACUGUUUCCUGGAAAAUCUUGGCCGCAGAAGUAAGCUUAUGAGUUGUCUCCAUUAUGGUACACUGGGCUUGCUGGACAAGGCCAUGAAGGGAAGGAAGAAUUCAGUGAAGCUGUCCGAAGAUGUGAAGAAAGCCAUCAUUGAUUCCCUACUAGAAAGCAAUGGAGUCCUGACGAACGGCGUAACAUCGCUGCAAAAGAAUGGCGUCCAUGAUGACCUCAAAUGGCCAUGCGAUGCCACGGCUACUGACGGAGCGGUGGCUCGCACCAUUGUGGUCUGGCACAUUGCUACAACCCUGUGCGAGCAGAAGCUGGAUAAACAAGCCAAAGAAGAAGACGCUGUCAAAACAGCCUCCACUUUAUCCAAGUACUGCAUGCAUCUCCUUGCUUUUGCACCUAACCUCUUGCCCGACCACAGCUCCAUAUCGGAAUCCAUACUUGAUCAGUCAAUCGAUGAAGCAAGCAAGUUACUCAAAGAGGGCAAGAACAAGAAGAUCAAGGGCAAGGACAAGAAGAUCAAGGGCAAGAACAAGAAGAUUUUGGGAAGGUGUGAGAUACUAAUGGAAACUACUAAUACCGAUGGUUGUGUUGAUGAUGAAACAAGGCUUGUUGCGCAGGGCGUUCACCUUGCAAGGCAACUGAUUGAUAACAUACAAGACUCCACAACAAGGUGGAAGGUGCUAUCUGAUUUCUGGGCGGAGAUGAUGCUGUAUGUCUCGCCAUCCGAUGAUGCUCGGGACCACCUGGAAGUUCUUGCAAAAGGAGGGGAAUUCAUCACGCACCUUUGGGCGCUGCUCACGCAUGCCGGUGUGCUGAAGAGAGGCCCUACAGAGCCAAUAGAUGCUGUCUGAUCUUUCCAACUUAACCAGUGCACACGUAGCAGUCCAUAUAUCUACCUAGUGCUUGUAACAUUCUAUGUAUAUUGCCAACUGUCAUGUUUGGACACACCAACUUGUGGCACACCAUGUGUGAGUUAGUCUACCGAGGUCUGUAUCUCUUUUCAUGUCGAGUCUGUAUCUCUUUUGAUGUGGUGUCUGUUGUCAGAUUUUGGGCAGAGUAGGAUCUUUAGUAUCUGCAAGUUUUGUUAAGAAGAGCGCGCUUUCAGGUUGUCGGACAUGCGCUUUCAUAGUUUGUGAUUUUGGUGAUUAAUAUCAAAACACGAUCAUUAGGAGUGUCUAGAACAUGCCUUGAAGGUAUUCUAGGUUCUAAGGAAACAACCACAACCAAAGAUAAGAAAAGGAACGAAGAAAUCCAAGGAAACGGAUCAUCGGAUGUUCCGAUGGCCCUAGAGAUGGCGACGGAGCAAGCGUCGGAGUAAAUGGUACACUGCAAAGAAGUUCGGGCAGAGUCCACAAUCGGAUGUUCCGAUGGUUACAUUUCUAGUAGCGUCGGAUGAAUUCUGAGGGGUAGGCUUGAAAGCAUGUGUUGGAUGAUGUAAGCAUGCAGUCUUUGGAUGAUGCAACCAAAUUAAUGUAUAUAUGUUCGGUAAUUAAUGUUGUGUAUAAAUUUUUUUCCGUGCCAGAAAAACAAAGUGUCUCCAAAAGGCAUGUCUUUUAGUCACAGUCACUGUAACUGAAUUCUUUGCGUAGUUUGUUGUUGCUUAACUGCACACAUAAAUCAGUUUAACAUUCAAAUGAGUGAAGGGCAUCUUAGCAUGGUAAUUUCAUGCCUACUUGACACUUUUGCAACGUGCAAGACUUUUGUUGGUCUUCGAUUCUGGAGCCAAAGCUACUAGCGCACCCGAUCGAUGGGCCUCGCGAUUCCAUGCCAAAUCACGUGAUAGAAUGCCACUAGUUAGCACUUAUAGCACCAAACUGAAUUUGGUGCCUUGACCUAGGAUUAGUUUACACCCAAUAAUCCCAAGUUUUUUAUGUACCGCCAUAUAAAAUGCAAUUUAUUAAAACUGGUGAUGAAUGUGAUGCGACAAAAAUAUAGUACUUUUAUAUUGAUGUGUCAUCAACUUGGUGAUCAUUCCGAGUUUAUCAAGAUUCCAACCUUAGAGUUUGGAGGGGCUCUUUCUUCAAAGAUUAUUAACCCAGGCACGAUGGCAGACAUACAAUUAAUUACUGCAUGUGUUCUAGUCAGUAGGAUGGGUUAUCAGGUUUAUUAAAUACGUACUGAGGCGUAGCAUAUAUUGCAACUAGCAACAAUUUUAGCUUGUCAUCUUAAUUGUAUGUUUGCUUUCCAUGCAUUGUUCAUAUACCGUAUUUAGAUAGCAAAUUUUGCUCUUGCUCGUUUGAAGGUAAUCCUAUAUGUAUCCACGAGACAUAAAGUCGCUGAGCUUCGUCAGUCCAAAACGCACUAACUAGUUAGGUUGAGUGUUAGCAGUUUCCAUUGACAUACGAUCACCUAGUCUGGCAGCUAGAACGUGCGUGGAGUAAGAGUUAAGUAAGUUACAUACACACUGUUGUGACCCGAAACGUAUGAGAGUAGAUCAUCAUCAUUACAGUUGGAUGGAACUCUCUAUUUAUAGCCAUAGCGGCAGGCAUUUACAUUCCACAAAUGCCCCACCUCAACCACUAUAUUCCCGUUAUAUGCUCUACACAAUGGUCAUUUGGACAUCACGUUUUUUGUGCCACCUAACAGUUCCCUGAUUGACGCUCACUUAUCACCUCCGCGAAUCUCGGUAGGGUUGUCCGCACCUUUUUCCGUGUUCUUCAUCGUCGACGGCGACUAACUAUGGCACCAAGUUUGUCAUGUUUAGUGAAUCUAGAUAAGGACCUGGAUGUAGAAGCAAUGAUCGAAGAUGAGCUAAAAAAUCUGUCUGACAGUACAAGAAGAGGGAGCAGGAUUACCAAUCUGAAAGAACAGAGUUAUAAAAGGUCAUCAGACCCGCUGUUGGGGCUAAGGAAGAUAGGGAAUGGAUCCCGCUUCUGGCCAUUAACAGAUGAGGUAAGCUCGGAAGAUGAGCUUGAGGAUGACAAUUCUGUUGAAAAUGGAGAGGAUGACAGCUAUGCUGAAAUUGGAGAUAAAAAACCCCAUCUGACUUCAAUGGGAUGUAACUCAGAAACAUUACCAAGUAGUAGGAGUAUGGUGAUGGGAUACAAAAUCAAAAUCCCACAUAGGGCUAAAGAGAAAGGCAGUGGUAAAACAAGAGUUACUAAUAAGAAAAUCAAAACAUGGAAAGGUCCAUUGCCAAAAAGAGAUCAAACACCGAAAUUGUCACUAGGGGACAUGUGGGUGAAGGAUCUUAGGACAUAUGUGCUGCCAAAAGAAAACAUACGUCUUAAUUCAUUCUUGGAUGGUGAAUCAAAAGUUCUGGUAGCCGAUGAAGUUUCUGUUGAAGAAAGCACAUUUGCAAAGGAUACAAAGGAGUUUGAAUUUCAAAAUGAACAGUUGGUUAACCUUCAAGGACCAAUAAGAUGGGUUGGAUAUACUGGUUUUGUACACGUGGGAGCACAUUCAGUUUUCCAAUGCAUUGAUAGUUUGGGACGACUCCUUAAAAAUGGAGAAUUGAGGUGGAGACCUCAACCCAAACACAACCACAAACAAAUUCACAGAACAAUCCCCUCGAAGAAACAGAAGAGGAACUAGCCUCGGCCCUCAAACAGCUAAAAGCAUUGAAGAAGGAGAGCAGAGGGAGGGAGAGGAUAAGGGACCGGAGGGCCGGUGCACUAAAUUUAAAAGCCGGAGGGAGGUGAGGCGCGGAUGAAGGUACCUUUUAAUACCGGGUGGGGGUUCCACCUGGUACUAAAGGGUCACCUUUAGUGCCAGGUGGAGCCUCCACCCGCUACUAGGGCCUUUAGAGGUGUUGGAGUGGACACUUGUUGUCAGUUUACACAAGAUCUCAUGGCCAAGCUGAACUUAGGAUAAAAAUUAAAUACAAAAAGAAAAAUAAUUACUCAUAGUUUCCUCAGCUUGAAUAUUUGCACUGAAAAAAAAAGCUUUCACGCUGUCAAGAGGGAGUGAAAAUGAUUAGUUCUGUCGGCUGUUGCGUAGUGCUUUAAUGUCAGCUGCUUAAAAAAAACAUGUUGGAUGCUGAUCUUUAUUAUCACAUAUUAACAGGGCAAGUGGUAGUAUGUUAUAAAGAUUAGUCGUGACAUCAUUAGGAAUGAGAUGAGUCCGCAGUUGGCUGAAGUUGGAAGCAAGGAAUUUGUGUAUGUAUAUGUGUGUGUAUAUAUAUAUAUAUAUAUAUAUAUAUAUAUAUAUAUAUAUANNNNNNNNNNNNNNNNNNNNNNNNNNNNNNNNNNNNNNNNNNNNNNNNNNNNNNNNNNNNNNNNNNNNNNNNNNNNNNNNNNNNNNNNNNNNNNNNNNNNNNNNNNNNNNNNNNNNNNNNNNNNNNNNNNNNNNNNNNNNNNNNNNNNNNNNGUUUGCAUCUGGAACCGCAGUUUCCAAUUCCGCCGCCGUAUGCCCCUUCGCCGGACGCAGCGAUGCCCAGGGGAGGACGAUGCCGCUGUCCCGCCGGAAGCAACGCCCAGAGGACGGUGACGCCGCGACCCCGCCAACGUCUACUGCGUCUUCUCGGCCAACGUGAAACGCCGUGCUGUCCUCACGUUCUACGAAGAAGACGUUGACGCCCUGGGGUGGUUCCGCGCAGACGAGCAGGGACGGCCGCCGCUGUUACCGUCGUAAACGCGAGGACUGCUGCCUGUGCAGUCAUCAACGAGGAGAGGGGCUCCCGCAGAUUUCAGAGGUGGGCAGCGGAUGGCAUCCUCGUCAACGAAGGGCUGCUAUGCAUUCAGUUUGGUCAGUCAAACAGCCACUUUCAUACAGCCACUUUCCAAACUUUGAGAUGUAAUUCAAAUAUUCAAACCGAAUUUGACUUGACAAAGAGCUACUUUCAAUUGUUGACUAUGUAUCAUAGAUCCCAUUUUGCAUGUUGAUGCCCAUCAUUUACAUAUAGAGUGCAUCAAAAUAUUGAGCCAACGUCAGACCAAUGUUCACUAUCUUGAGAGUCGGACUCCAGGGUUCAGACUACUGAAAGUGAAAGAGAUAGCCCAUGCAUCAGGUUGUAGUUGCAGUUUGAACGUACAAGUUCAGUAUGCAAUAGUAUGCAGGUAGUAUUAUCCAAUGUUCACUGUCUUAAUGUACGGUCUUCAGAGUGGGAAUGGUCAUUGCCAUUCAGUUUAGACAAUGAACUCUAGACAGUGCAACUUCCAAGCUUUGAGCUCCAAACAAAUUUUUUUCCAGAUUGUUGUUGUGUCAUUGAAUAUUUGUACAAACUCUGAAUCGACGAAAUACAGUUCUCUAAUGGAUAUGCAUUGUGUUGUUACCUUUCAGACCACCUUGCCAGUGAUGGGUUGUCGGAGGAUAUUGUUUGAAGAAGCAGGGCCGUCCGCGCCGAGUAGGGACUCUGCGGAUAGCCCUUCACCGAAAAGGCUGGAGAUGAACGACAUGAGAGUCGCCGUCGACGUGAGAAAUACAGAAGUGCCGGAAAGGUCACCGCCACGAUCUGAACCGUCCUAGCUGGGAGAACGAGACACUAUUGACUCCUGCAUCAAAGUUCCAGAGAUGUUGGAGAGCUCCAACACUGGAUUUCGAACUCUGCCCACACAGAUAGGUUGCCAGCAAGGGAGUAAUGAGGAUCAAACCAUUACAACGGGAAGACAGGGUGUUGUGUUCUCGCCUCCGGAUACUUUGAACGCAAACCAGAUGAUUGCUAGUGAAGAAGAAAUUCCACCACAAACACACGUAAGUGAUGCAUGAUAAAUCUUUGUUUGAAUUGUACAAAGCAGUGAUAUGCAUAGUUAAAAAGCACAAAUGCAUGAGAGUAGUCAGUGAAAAUUUAUAUUAUGUCAUAUCUUUAAGGCUGUGAUGAUAAUUGAAUUUUCUACGCAAAUAUUGAUUCAUAUGACGGUGCAUUAGUAUAUGAUGUUAAUUGAAAUUAAUGUUAUUUGAAGCAGAAUGAAAGCAUGGAUCCAAAUAUGGUACCCAGAGAAGGGAUGUCAUUCCACACGGAAGCUGAAGCAAAGGCGUUCUACAUGAGAUAUGCACAACUGGCCGAGUUCGGCGUGAAAAUGUGCAACAAGAAAAAAUUCUCUAGAGUGAUGAGGUGUAGCUGUGAAAGAAAAGGAGAUUUUUAUAAAGGUGAUGAGGCUCUGCGAGUACGGAACAAGACAACAAUGAAGACGAAGUGCAAAGCUCAUCUGAAGUUUACGAGAGUGUAUGACAGUGAAGGCAACGAAGUAGAUAUGAUUAUAGAAAAGGCAAACCUAUUUCACAACCACCUGUUGCAUACGCCUUUGAAAACCAAGAAAAUGAGGUCACACAAGAGCACGAAACUAGUACUUUAUCAAAUAAUUGAUGAAUUGUAGGAAGCCGGCGUGAGUACGCAAAGUAUAAAGAAUGUAUUGCAAAAUAUGCAUGGGGGUGCAGAGCUUGUUCCGAUAACAUCGCGGGACAUAGAGAACAUGUAAAAGAACCUCACACAGUUUGUUAUUCCUAAAUAGUAAGGUUCAUGCCAAGCUAAAGUAUAUAAUCAUUGGUGUCGUUAAUGAAAUGUACUUACAAUUUAGAAGGAUAAAAUGUUGAGUUUUUUUAACCUGUUUUACAGGAAGGCCACUAAUGUACGGGAAGAACACGCAAAUGACAUAAACAAGCUUAUUGAAUUCUUCAAGGAUUGUGAGGCUCAAAACCCACAGUUCCGAUGGGAACCCAAGCUGGACUCUGAAGGUGUUAUACACAGCUUAUUCUGGAGUCAUGCAAGCAUGCAGGGCAAUUGUGCAGAUUUUGGUGAUGCAAUGAGCUUUGACACAACUCAUAAGACUAAUAUUUAUGAGAAACCACUAGCAAUGUUUGUUGGAUCAAACCACCAUCUGCAGAAUACAUUGUUUGGAUGUGCAUUGGUAGGAGAUGAAACAGCUGAAACUUUUGAAUGGGUGUUCAAAGCAUUCAAAAAGUGCAUGGGACAAAGUAGAACAAGGUGUAUCCUCACAGGUAAUAUGUUCAUCAUUGAUGUUUAUGAUAAAAAUAUUUGAUACAUGAGCAUAUACAACAAUUUAGAGCAAUUAAAGAACUAACAAUGAUGAAUUUGCAUCUUGUGGUAGACCAAGACCAGGCAAUGGGAGUGGCGAUUGCCAAAGAGUUCCCAGGGGUUGUUCAUAAGAUUUGCAGAUGGCAUGUGGUGAACAAGCACAUGCCACAUCUAACCAACCUCUUUGGGAUGUAUGCGAAGAAAAAUUUCAAGGACAAAUUUUAUUCUGUGCUAAACCACCCACUCACCCCUGUGGAGUUUGAGGCCGCUUGGCAGGAACUAUUGGAUCAGUUCGACCUACAAAAGGAUAGCACUUUAGAUAGCCUUUACUGCCAGCGAGAACUGUAUGUGCCGGCAUAUUUCAAAGACCAAUAUUGUGGCCGGAUGGCAUCGACACAGAGAAGCGAGAGCUCAAAUUUUGUUCUAAAGAAGUGUUUUGUUGACAAGCACACGGCUUUGCACAGGUUCGCCAAAAAAAUGCUUGACUUCAUGCAUUCACGUAAGAUGAAGGAGUCUAAAGAGUCGUACCAUGGAACGGUAACGUAACCAGCGUGUCAAUUCAUAUUUAUGGAGUGCGUGUAUAAAGAUCAUUUCCCUUAACUAACUGUUGCGCUUGUACUGUGACAGAGCAAAAGGCUCACAAGAAGCAAGUGGCCAUUUGAAAUACAGGUUUCACGAAUUUAUACUAGAAAUGUGUUCAAAGACUUUGAAAAGAAGAUGAUCGAUUGCACAGUUUUCGAUAUAGAAGACAAUCCAAUAGAGGGUGAAUCAUGCUAUCUGGUAACUCACACAAAUAGGUCUUCUAAAAUAUCUUGGGGGCAGCACCAGUUCAAAGUGCGUGCAAACAAAGAAAAUGGCGAGUUUCAUUGCGAGUGCAAGGAGUGGCAGCAUACAGGUACAUGAUAAAACUAUUACAAUAUUUAUAGCGUACAUCCCAAUUUCUUAUUAACAGUACAUAUACUCUCUUGGUUGUUUAGGUUUGUUCUGCGUGCACUUGUUGAGAGCCUUCAUGAGGAUCCAGCUAAAUAGAAUACCACAACAUUACAUUCUCCGUAGAUACACAAAAUAUGCACAGCAGGAGUUGGGAUUCGACAGGAAUGACAAGCUCCAAGUUGGGGCUGAUGGAGUCACACAGUUGUACAGACUCAAAGAUCUAACGUCCCUAGCAAUGGUUGCAGUCAGGUCUGGGAGCAUGUCGCGCGCUGCGCACAUUAGAACGAGAGAGGUGUUGGCAAAUCUUGACAAAGAUAACAAAGAAAUACCCCCUGACAUCGGGCCAAGCACAACAAACAUGCACCAAGAAUCACCUGGAGAGGUAAAAAUUCUAAAAUGUUGCAUGAAGUGUAUGUUGCAUGGCAAGGCACUUAACCGCAUACAUCUGGGUUUGAUUUUGCAGGAGUUAUCAGAUUGUAGUGAAAGUGAUGAUGACUAUGGUGACAACACAAAUGAUGAACAAUUGGCGAAAAGGGUUACCCAGAUAGGCUUGUAUCAUGAUACAGGUGUAUGCGAGUUACCACACUAGGAAAAAAGAUUUGCACAAUAACAAUGACACAAUGUGAAGCAGGAAUUGGGACAAGCAAACGUGGAUGGAAAUGAAGCUAGAGAGAGUAUAAAGGGGAAAAUGGUUCUUGCAGCAAAUCUGGUAUGAUUUGUCAUGGAAGUAGUAUAAAUACGGGAAAUACACAAGUUAACUUGCAUAUCAGCAAGAAAUAUUAAAAGAGAUGUGUUAAUUGUUUUUCAGGAUGCUUUUGGUGGAGACUUUGUGCGCAACGAGGUUGUGCUAACCAACCAAACAGUCAUGACAACUAAAGAUGCAAGAGUGCAUGAAGGAUGUGCAACCCACAGUGGCGAGGUUAGAAGAAUGAGUUUGGAAAUAAUUAAUGCCAUCACCAUUGUUGCAUUGAAUUUAAAGUUUGUGCAAUAAUCUUUGCAGUAUCAUGCCAAUGAUGAUAGACUGAUCAGCCGAGUCCCACCUACGAGAGCCAAGACUAAAGGGCGGAGCAUACCACCAUCUGAAAAGAAGGAAAUUUCGUUGGGAGCCAAAGGUGUGAAAAAGGGCACAAGGAGAUGCAGUAUUUGUGGGUACUACGCAACACAUAACGCGAGAACAUGUCCCAAACUCCAGCAUAACAAAGAGCGCUUGGAAGUAUUGAAGAACAGAAUGAGAGGCAGGCCACGAGGAGCACAGCAUAAGAGUAGUGCCAGCCAGCAUGAUAGUGGAGGAGAAGAGCAUAACAUAGGGCGACAGCAGGACACAAAGAAGUGCCAAGAAAACAAAUAUAUUGAUUACGAGAGCAAUGACGAGCAGUUUUUGUGGGAUUCGUCCAGUGCUCAUUGUAUAUAAAAGGGCAUUGGAUGUCUCUGUAAUAGAUAGGGAACAUUGCCAGUAGUAGUUCCUCUGAGCACGCCUCCGUGUGCAAUGAUGCCUAAGCGCAGAGACAUGUCUUUUGAAGAAUACUGGAAUCAUUAUCGGCAACGAGCGGUCUUGAAGGAUGUUCCAGACAUUUGUGAAAGUAGUGAAAAAACAAAAGAAGAACGUGGCAAAGGAAAGGUAAUCAAGAAGAAAGAGAAUAAGGUCAGGUGUAUUUACUCGGAAUAAUGUUUUUGUUCAGUAAGUUUAUUUACUAGAUGUCACAUAUUUAAUUAUCAAAUGUAUCAUUAAAUAGGAAGUGGCAAAGCCCAUAGAAAAACAGACUUCGUUCCAAAAGGAACACGACAAAUUUAUGAGCGAUAUAAUAUUUGAGGAGAUGUGCCUUGUGGAAGGGGAGCUUCCGGACAAACUAGCGAGGAAUGGGACAACAGAAGGCGAGAUUAGCACGGUGAGUUUUGAGUAUUUGAAAAGAAUAUGAAGGACAAUAGAAAAAGAUUAUUAUAUUGAAGAAUUAUCAUAGUGUGGUAUAAUACAUUUGCAGAAUGGGGAGAACACGGAGGCGGAGGUUUCCAGCAAGAUUGGACGGUGAAAAACAACAUCAAGGAAGCCAAGUAGCGAUUAAAUAAUUUACUUAAUAAUCGAGUGCAUAAACUGAUUUUUGUAAUAAGAGUAAUAUUUUAAUAAGGCAUUACCCUUGUCAUUGUGUACAUUCUUGAGUACCGACCCCAGUAUGCGAAUUCUGAUCGUGGCGAUAGUCAAGGUGUGAGAAUAUGUAAGAAUUAGUGCAACGGAGAACAUCCCUAUGCAGUGUUAGGUCCAUGAUUUCAUUUGUGGUUGUUUGAGAAUGGAUCAUGUGAUGUUGCAGCGUGAGAAAUUCUGCCCCCUGAGAUUUUUCAACACACGCUAACAGGAGAAACUGAACAUUGGGUAACACUCAUAUGCAAUAUGAUAGCAGCUUCCUUUCAAUGAAUCAGUUUUGUUUCUCCGAAUAUCUGUGCUGCUUAAAGGCGUAGAGAUGUUUCUGUCCGUCCCUACCUCCCUCAAUGUGCUAAGAGACAAAGUCAGUAUUACCUAUAAUCGAGCUCUUGUUUUACUGUGGAAAUCUUUGGCGUAAUUUUCUAUAGAGUAACAGAGCAUCACACACACGGCAAGUAAAAGGCGUAUAUCCACAAAUAUGGCACUUCAGACAUACGACAAAAAGGAUGAAACCUUGUGCUACAUUACUGGUGUCCCAUUUCCAUUGCCGUAGCAACAUGAAACAAACGAUCAGUUUAUAAUAUACAAAAGACUAGAAAUAGCGAUAGGAAAGCUAGACGCAGCGGCCUCAUAAGAGAGGCAUACAUGCUUAAAACAGAACAAAGAGAUGCGUCGGGACUGUCGCAGCAGCAUUAAUACACAUCAAAAAUGAGGUAUUCACAUGUCAGUCACAAAACUAAGCAUUGUUCAUGUAUGAAUCAUGAGAAUGUACAAUAUGCACAGCUACAAAAGAAUAAAAAAUUAAAUAGUAAAGGGUUGUAAUGAACAAAAAAAAACUAAUAGAAAAAAGGGUGAUGAUCAUCUCGACGGUACUGAAGGAUUUCGUCGGGCAGCGCGACAACCUUGUUCUGCUUAUGAAAAGUGAGGUAAUACAAGGUCUCAGCACGCAACUCUUUUGAUCGUUCCUGAAAUUUAAAGACAUAUAGCCAUGAAAAGUAAGAAACUGCAUGCGAAAGGGUAGAGUCUUGGGAAAAGACUUACAGCAGUGAUGCUAGUGUGUAGUGAGCCAUGUCCAUCACCAUCAUAGAACUCGAGAAACUUCAUGGCAAAGAAUGCACUGUCCGACAAGGCCUUCUGGACGGCAACCUUGACCGGGACAUGUCUCCAGUUCUUGAAUGAUUUAAAUUUGAGAGGUGCAGCAAUGGAGAGAGCAUCACUUAGUCGGUGCAUGAUUUUUUUCCCAAAUUCCAAAUGAUACUUGUCCCAAUUGUUGUCACACUCAGGGGUGUACAACAUUGAGUCAAGCACAUCAAUCCGUGAUUGGCCAAAGUUAACGCAAUAAACAGACCAAUGGUGCUGAUGUAGAACUGGUAGAAGAAUCUACACAGUGUGUAAAAAGAAGAAUUGACUUAUUUUUGCGAAAAUAUAAUAACAAGGACUUAUCUACUUAACUAAAUUCACGAGUACAACAUAUGCUGAAGCUACUCAAACACAUAAUUAUGAAACCAGCAAACUCAUGGCCAGAUUGGAGGACCAGAAAAAAAUGGACAAAAGCUAACCAAAAAAAAUAGUAGAUGUACCAUCUUUGUCUUCUUCAAGUCUGUGAAAGGAAGACAACGUUGGAUGGCUGUCACUGCUGCAAACUGGCUAUAUUUGGGUUCGGAGCUGUCCCUUUUGUGCCACUCAACAUUGAGAAUUGCCUUCAAGAAAAGAAAUGCCAUGGAAUAAAAAAAGUAUGAAAGAAUGGAAAAAUUUUAAUAUAUCUAGUGUCAAAGAAUGGCAAAAUAAAAGCUUACUGAGAGGCCAGCAUCAAAAAAAAAUUCUGUAGCCAUGGCACUCGGAUCCAAUAAUCAUCAUAGCUAAGACAUUUGACAAAUCCUGUGAUAAAAGUUGAGUCUGGGAUUGCACCAUCGGCAAAUGAUUGUGCAAUCAUGUCACAAGUUAAAGGGGUGCUACCAAACUGGAUCACCGGCAUGCUGUGGAUAUUACAAUCAGCAAAUGGAGAAAUAGAAAGUUUGGCUAUUAUAAGAUUUAGAAAUGGACAAAAGCUAACCUUUUCAAUGUGGAGUCAUCAGCGCACAUGUGUCCAAAGAGACUCAUUGCUGCGUCCACAUUGGGUGCAGGACGGGACAUAAUUCCAUACUUGAAGGGUGAAGAAUAUUUAGCAGGCUUCCGUGUCAUGCGUUUCCCUGUUCUCUGUUCUGACACAUGUAAAGUGCCUGACACCAUGUUAUUUUGAUCCUUUGGAAAGGUCAAAAUAACAUUUAGUUGGAAAAUAAUUAGCUGGAAGGAUUGCAACUCGAAUCGAAUGGAGUGGGUGGUAAUCGUGUCCAGUUAAACAUACAGUUUUGGCCUGGUCUUCAAAUUGGGUAGUGCGUGAUGCAGGGAGAGUAUGCAUAGGAUUUGAUUGCUCUUCACAAUAGAUGGCAUCAAUGAGAUUGUUGAUUCUAUUCAUAUCAUGGUUGCUGUCAGGCAAACUAGAAUAGGGUGGUAUUAUAUGAUCUGAAAAAUUAAUUUCAUGAAUACAGCGUUAAGCAUGAACAGAAAUGACUCCUAAACAAUUAAAGGCUGAGCAUAUGGGUAACAAUCCUGACAGCUGCAUAUUGUAAUGUAAGCCUGGAUACAACCUGGAAAAGAGAUAAAGAGAAAAUUCAGACUACAUAAAGCUAACCUGAGCAAGUAGUAGUACGUGCAUGGUCGUCCCUGCAAGCUUCUUGAUGAGGUUUAGUGCAAGGUGUAGUGCCACCAGUUUUAGAUGUGGCGGGAUCUGUGACCAAGAUUUCCAAAAUAACCGCUGUUAAGCUUUUAUGGUAAAGGGUCAUUACCGAGCAUUUUGCUUGUUGUAGUAUGCGAUAGGCAGUACCUGUGGUGUAUGAGUUUUGGCCGUUGCCAUCCCUUAAUACGUCAUCUCUGUAGCAAGAACUUGGGGUCCUGAAAACACCGCCGUUUCCAUGCUCGAAUAGUUGAUCUACAGAAAGUAAUGUACAGAAAAAUAAGUUGAAACUUUCAGAAGCAAUUUGAUUAGGAAUUGAAAAAAAGUACAUAAUCAGAAUGGAUUGUGGGGAUCGAUGUGUGCCACCGUUGUGAGGAUCGACAAAGUCCUCUUCGAUGCCUGAGUUGUUCCUCCGUGAAGUGUCCCCAAUAUUGUUAGGAUCAGAAGCCGACCUCUGGGCAGCAAUAAGCUCCUCUAUUACCGGUCCACACUUUUCAGCUAGACGAUAAGGAGCUCUAGCAAUGUUGCAUAGAGAAGCUUGGAUGGCACAAGUGUUCUCAGAUAAGGUUUGGUUAAACUGGUCGAACAAUUCAUUAAAUGCUUGCAAGGGGUGACCAGUGAGACAACCCAAUGGAUGGGACAAGAGAUCACGCAAACGUGGAAUACGAAUCUUAGGGACAUUAGUCAUGUCAUCCAAACCAACAUUGAAGUUCCUGGGUCUUGGUGGAGCCUGGCAUGUAUAAUGAUGUGUAAAAUUGAGUAUAUACAAGGAAAAAGAAAAUGACACUAAAAGUCAACCAUGUAAAAUAUAAGGAAACUACAUGGAACAUAUGUCAGGUUUUAGAAGUGAGUAAUGUACACAGAGCAACUAGAAGAAUAAUACAACACCGGGAAUUACUGCAUAUAUAUGUGCAUAGAUAUUGUGUGUGUAUUUGUAACAUGACAAUUCAAUUUAAUAUUUGGCACAUACCUCUGUGCCAUCCUGGGCAAGGAAAUAAUCGGUUAAUCGCCUAGAAUUAUCAGCUGCACUAUUCUUUUCCUUUGAAGAGCGGUGAGAGGACCGAAACUUCUUCCUACGGCGAUCUACAACCCCGGUGCGAUCAUCAGAAGCAUUCCUCAUACGGCGAACAGAUUUAUUGCACCCCGGAUCAUGGUCAUCCGCAAUAAAAUCAGCGCUAGGAUCAUCAGGAACAUAACUCUGUUGAGGAACAUUUCGGUUGGGUAGCUGUUGAAAAGACAAUCCAGGGCCACCACCCACUGGAUAAGAUGAUCGCAACUCGGGUCGAAGAAGAACCUCGAACCUGAAGUGAGAAAAAUGAAAGUAUAAAGUAUAGACCAUGAAUCAAUGAAAAUACAGUGGACUACAGGAGAGGCGGUGAAAUUAUAAACAUGCGCAUACCUCUCCUGUGUGCUCUCGAAUACAGCUAGCUUCGGGUUGAUAGGCAUCCUAUUCACCAACCGCUGACAAGUAUCUGUCCUGGGAGACAAAUCAAAUUGAACAUACUCUGUGUCAGUAAUAAUGAAUACAAUGAGUGGUUAGGAUCCAAAUAUGUUGUAGUUGUUUACAUGGAAUAUUUACAAACUGAAAAGAAUAAAAUGAUGUAAACGUUAUGACAGGCUUGGGAAAGCGGUAGAGAUGAGAACACAGACAAAAAUGAGUCACAUAAGACCUUCUAGUUGAGCAGAUCCGUGGAGAACCUUGCUGAACACCUUCUAACUGUAAGGGAACCGUAUCUACACAUGGAAGAAAAUAAUUAGAGAGAACUACAAAAACAACUCUUUCUUUACUCGUUUUCUAAAGAUUUAGCAGAUACCUGAAGACUCCAUGAGUAGGUAUGAAAAUGAAGGAAACCACAGCUCGGAGGGAUGAUGGCAGAGCUGCCUGGCAUGGGGGAGGAAAAGAGAUGUUAAUAAAGUAUAAAAAGAGUUGUUUUCGAGUGCAUCAUUAAUAUCAUAUGAAUCCUGUUACCGUGGUGGUUCUAAAAUACCUUUCUGUUUUAUUCUUCAAAAAGGAUUGACUCCAAAAUAAGAACAAUUGAGCUUGAUGGUAGGCGCAUAAAGUUGAAGAUCUGGGAUACUGCUGGGCAAGAACGUUUUUGAACUAUCAACUGGUACGCAAUAUGCUUCGUUUGCUGUGAGGAGCAGGUUCUUUAACUAUUUAUGUGAAACUGCUCUGAAUCUACAAACUUUUGACUAUGCAGCCUACUACAGGGGUGGAAUGGGCAAUUUGCUUGUGUAUGAUGUUACUGACGAGUCAUCAUUCAAUAGUGCGUAUUCUUCAACUUCAAUCAACAGACUUUGGCUUCCUAAACUGACCUUGCUGUGGUCAUUGGCAGAUAUAAGAAACUGGAUUAGGAACAUUGAGCAAGAUGCUUCUGACAAUGUGAACAAAAUUUUGAUAGGCAACAUAGCAGACAUGGAUGAAAGCAAACGGGUAUGUUCUGUUCUUCUUUAUUGUCUCUUGUCCAUGAUAUGCUGACAUCCUAUUUGCGAUUGUGCAUUUUAAUGUUCAGUUUAAAAUGAAAACGUAAAAUCUUACUGGUGCUUGGAAGUAUUGAUGAACUGGCUUCCUCAACUGACCUUGCUGUGGUCAUUGGCAGAUAUAAGAAACUGGAUUAGGAACAUUGAGCAACAUGCUUCUGACAAUGUGCUUGCAUUAGUUCUGGCAUAGAACUUCAUGAUGUGUUACCUACGGAACAAAGUUACCUACGGAAGAUGCGUGAAAUCAAAAGCUUAAAUCAGAUUGUUGAAUCUAAUGUCCGGCUCGGCCAUGGCUCGGCCAGCAGGAACUCGACAGCACUGCAUGAUGAAAGGAACGCACAAGAGCAACUGAUUAAAGAGAAGAACAAGGAUGCGACGGAGUACUAACCGACGAGGACCAGCGGAAUCAGCUGCGAAAUGCCAAAUUGAAGAUGACGGCCUGCGGGCGAGGUGCUAACAACUGAAUGCGGUGGAGGCCCUACCCGCCAGCAGCUGGGGAGCGGUGGAUGCGGGGGAUGCCGAGCGGCGGCGGCGGCGAGGGAUGGAGACUGGCGGUGACACGAGGAUCAGAGGGCGCGACGACAGCGGAGCGCGGCGAGCUUAGGGUUUGGGAGCGGCGGCGGCGGGGGAUGGCGAGCGGCGGCAGGGAGGGAUGGCGAGCAGCGGCGGCGGCAGGGGAUGGCGAGCGGCGGCGGGGAGGGAUGGCGAGCGGCGGCGGCGGGUGAUGGCGAGCAGCGGCGGGGAGGGGUGGCGAGCGGCGGCGGCGGGGGAUGGAGAGCGACGGCGCGCGGCGGGGGAUGGCGAGCUGUGGCGGUUCCUGCUAGGAGGAACUGGAACGGGAGGAUGUUGACCCACGUUCGGAGGAGCUAUAUAUAUAUAGCUAGGAACGUCAUGCUUGAGAUAUUUUGAAAUGUCUCUUUAUAAAUAAAUUUAUGAUGAGCAAUAUAUAACUUACGGAAUGAGAUAAGUUCAAGUAGGAACGACCAACAUAAUGCAUACACUACCUGGUCAAUGUCCAUAUCGGCUGGAAACUCAAAGUUGCUCUCUGUACGUAUCCUCAUAUGCAAACCAGAUGGUGUCGUCUGAUGGGAAUCAAUUGUAAAAAUCCUUAAAAUUCCCAGCUGCGGUUGAUACUGUCAGAGGAUCACCUGGGAGGGUUGAUGCUGCUUCACCGUGAGAUGUGCAUCGACAGCGAGUUACCCGUGCACCCUCAGCAUAGUCAGAAGGGAAAGUACUCUUGGUCAGAUCCUGACGAAUAUCAAAAUAAUCAUAGAAACUAAACAUAAAAAUGAUUAUGGACAAAUUACAUAUAUAUACUCACAACACUAUCCGUCGUUGCGUGAAUGAUGCACAAAUUACUAGUAUAGAAUUGGCAUUCGAUGCGCCCCCUUUUGUGCCGGUUUAAAGUUGGCCCGGGACAAAAGGGGUGCGCCACGGUAGGUAAAAAUGGAGGGGAGAGUUAGUCCCGGUUGGUAAUUGCAACCGGGACUAAAGGCCCUCCUUUAGUCCCGGUUGCAACGACUAGUUCCGGCGCGUUGGUGGCGGCACCCUUUUAUCCCGGUUGGAGGUUCCUUUUAUCUCGGUUGGAGCCUCCAACCGAGACAAAAUGUUUAGUCCCAGUUGGAACUUUCAACCGGGACAAAAGGUGUUUCGUUUUGUCUCGGUUGGAGUUUUUAACCGGGAUGAAAACUCAUUCCCAUUAUAUACCAAGAUAGAGGCCUUUCUUCCUCCUCCAGCCCGAGCCAGACCAGCACAUAGAUAGAGAGCUGAGCUUCACCUACUCUCCGGUGGUGCCGAAGCAAGGGAGGUGCUGCCCGAAGUUUUUUUCCUCAUUUUCGUGGGAAUUUCACUCAGCCAACACAAGUGUUGUGAAGGUUUGCUACUUCAUCCUCGUGUUAUGCUUUGAUUUAUGCUUUGGAGAUGGAAAGAUUAAUUGCUAGAAUGUGAUGAAGUAGAAAAUGGAGAGGUAUUUUGAGCUAGAAUGUGAGGGAGAUUGAUGUGUCAUAUAUAGUAUGUAUUCUUGCAGUGGUUUAAGAAUGAUGCUACCUUGCCUAGACGGUUUAUCUUAUCAAAUUCAAUAAGGUUUUUCAAAUCUAUACUUGUUGAACUUGCAUACCGUGUUCAUCUCUGCGAGCAUGUUCUCUGCCGAGCAGCAACGUAUGUCAAGAAGGAGGUUCGAUUCUACGAGAAAGAGUGGAUAUGGACAUCGUCACUGUGUCCCCUUUUCCAUAGCAUCGAACCUCUUUCAUGACGAAGUGCGAUGCCGCCUAGUUGAGAACAUGCUCGCGAGAUGAUCAUGGUCUUCAAGUUCAACAACUUCUGCAGUGCUAAGGAAAGUAUUUUUGUACAUAGAUGGCUUCUGCUACUUGCUGAACUUAUCAAAUUCAAUAUGGUUUUUCAAAUCCAUACUUGUUGAACUUGCAUACCGUGGUCAUCUCUGAGAGGAUGUUCUCCACCGAGCAGCAACAUAUGUCAAGAAGGAGGUUCGAUUCUACAAGAAAGAGUGGAUAUGGACAUCGUGACCGUGUCCCCUUUUCCGUAGAAUCGAACCUCUUUCAUGAAGAAGUGCGGUGCCGCCCAGUUGAGGACGUGCUCACGAGAUGAUCACGGUCUUCAAGUUCAACAAAUGAGACACUAAGCAUGGUCAUUUUCAUCAAAUGUGUUGCUUUUGGAGCUGGGGAGAAUGUAUUUUUAAUAUCAUGUAACUCGCUGAACUCGACCGGGCAUGUACCUCUGAAAACACCAUCUUGGAAGUACGCUAAAACUGCGUGGAAAGAUGAGUGUUCGGUCUACUUGCCAGGCAGGCUCAUACCUCAGAAAAUUCUGGUCGAAUAAAAUAUACAUUGAGGUUUACAAACCUGAGGUUUCCUUGAAACCAUGUUGCUAGCAAACUACCAAAAGUAGGCCAAGCAAGAGAACAAAGAUGUCAAUUUCUCAGCGUUGGAGGGGAGUCCUUAUUUAAUAUAUUAAGGAAUAUCUGCCUUGUUUAUUCACUACUGUACAACAUUAUAAGCAAGUGGUUGCAACUUGGAACAUAUAUAGGUGGGGCCAUGUCGUAUGUCCUUCAUUCAAUCAGGGCCGCCACAUCAACGUCUUUACCUUGGGCACAAGUGGCAAAUGGAACAACAACUUGCACGCAUAUGAUGAAGAGUCCUACCCGCGUACUGCUUUAAUUUUUUAUUUUUGUUGAUGACAGGCUGGCUGAUGUUAUGGGUGCGUCUCAGUUCUAUAAAUAAAGGAGGAAACGUGGUUGCCUAUUUUGACUCACCACGGAUGCAUGUUUAUAUAGGACCAACCGCUCAAGAUAUAUACAAGAUCUCGUCAUCGUACGUGACUCGGAUACCGUUUACAAAAGACUUAUCUCUAAUCUACCUCUAAGUAUCCGAAUCAACUAAGGAUGACAAAGUAGUUGGAACUGUUUACACAAGAUAUUCUAUUCUAACAUCCUCCCUCAAUCUAAACUUCUCUUCUUGAGAUUUAGAUGGUGCUUGAAGUCUUCUAACUUGCCGGCUAUCAAAGCUUUAGUAAAACCAUCCGCAACUUGAUCAUGAUACUAAUCUGACUUGUAAUUGCUUCUUGGCAACCCUCUCUUGUACAAAGUGAAAAUCAAUCUCUAUAUAUUUUGCACGAGCAUGAAAAACUGGAUUUGCUGAAAGAUAUGUGACCCCCAAAUUAUCACACCAUAAGAUAGGUGGUUGUGUCAACUUUACUCAAGUUCAAGCAACAAAGAUUCUAACCAAAUCAAUUCUAUAGUAACAUUUGCCAUAGAAUUAUAUUCUGCUUCAGUACUAGAUCUUGAAAUUGUACCUUGCUUUCUAUCACUCCAAGAUACAAGAUUAGGAUCAAAGAAUAUUGCAAACCCCCCUGUAGAUUUUUCAUCAUCAACACUACUAGCCCAAUCAGUAUGAGAAAAUGCACUCAAUGUCAUUGAACUAGACCUUCUCAUAUGCAAUCCAACAUUCAAGGUACUAGAGAAUCAACCCAUCAUCGUCUUCAUGUCUUGUCUAACAUGUACUGACGUGACAGGAAUUUGCCAUGCGACGACCGCCAAUAUGCUAGUCUCCGCACAAGCUAGCAACGUCCAAGGAGACUGCACACAGUCUCCCUUCAGUGAAUUAUAUAUGUGUGUAAAUAUAAAAGGCAGCAACAUUCAUGAAAUGUCGACCACUAAGAUCGUGGAUUCACAUUUAGCGAAAUGUCUCUAAAUGGUUCUUACAUUAUAAUAAUAUAAAAGAUCUCUGUUGACUUCACGAGUCAAGAUAACAGUGACACUGUUCUUUUUGCCACCACAGAAAUAUACUCACAUAGCGUGUGACAAAUAAAUAAAGGAAACACAUAUUUAUUUAAAUUCUUAGUUUGUAUUUGGUUUGCGAACGAGAUGGUUCUCUUCGUCCUAGUGUUCUGUUGACUUCACGAGUCAAGAUAACAGUAACACUGUUUUUUUCGCCACCAUAAAAAAUACUUGUCAGAUACCGUGUGACAAACAGAUAGAGAAAAUACAUAUUUAAUUAAACUCUUAGUUUUUUUUGUUUGCGAACAAGAUGGUUGUGUCUGUCCUAGUUUUUUAGAUGGGAUAUCCCUUCUUUUGCUUGGUUAAGGGAAUAGUGUCACCUCUAUUUUAUAUAUUUCAUAGCAGGGAUAAGGAGAAAGAGGAUGGAUAGCUGUUUUCAAUACGUGAACCACCAUUAGCAUGGGCCUUAGUUGUUAGCUCCAACAGCGGAGGUUAGCGAUGAGGACGGAGACCGGCACGCGGACUCAGUAGUGGAGCUGUGUGGCCUUGGCCAUGGCAAGAGAAGAUGGGAGGCAGUGCCACCAUGGCUGCCCGUCUGUGCUUCAUUCACCCGCCAUUUACCAUCAACCCGAGCUGCUUGCCGUCGGUCAGAGCUACCGCAGUGUCAAUUCAAUCCACCAUUCUCUUCCAUGCUACACUCACCACCUCACCGUUGAGCUGACUCGUACCUCAGCCAUGGACAGCCGCCAUUGACGCCAGAACAUGAAGAUGGGACACAUUUAACGAUGCCAAAGUAGGAUGAAUUGUUAAAAUUUUUUUAAGAACCCGAUUAAUUCCUUGGGUGGGGUGACGCGCAAUCCUAGCAAUCCCUGAUCCAAACAAUAUCAUAAACUUGGGAUAUCCUGCUUUGUCUUGGUUUCCACAAACUAAAUCUGACUCCCUCCGAUUCAAAUUGUAAGUUGUUUUGGCAUUGUAUAUAGGUUUUAUGAUGCACCUAGAUAUACGUUAUGUCAAUAUAUAUAGUAAACCUAUGUAUUUCAAAAAGUCAAAACAACUUACAAUUUGUAAGGGAGUAUAUUAGUGGUGAAAGAAGCCUAACUCUCUUAAUUUCUCUAAGCUUUUGAAAUAGAGCACAACUUCAAGUUGUUGUAGGAGAUUCGGGUGUAUAUAUGUAAAUUUCCUUGCUUUGACAUUUCUUCAUCUAAGAAAAUACAAAAGUGUAGCAAUCCUCAAAAUCUCGACGACUACCCAGUUCAUUCAUGUAUUCACACUUGUUUGUUGUUACUGAAAAGUUUUGUGUUCCUUACAUGACACCCAAGUCCUAUCUUUUAUUCCUUAUUUGAUAUUUUUAACACUUGUGUCACUUCAGUCGAAUGAAACAACCAUCAAAUCAUCUUCAAAAUUCAUGAAACUUUUUUUGUAAUAGAACAAAUGAAGAUAAAUCCAUUUUGCUUAAAUUCGCUAUGUAAGUUUUGCUAGGAAAUAGUUUAAUAAGUUCUAGCAUCUGAUGUGAGAAAUAUUAGUUAUUUUCUUAUAAUUUUCAAAAGUGUGUCGAUGCCAUCAAAAUUCAGAUAAUUUUAGAAGCAGCCUAAUUUGGUGAAUUUUAGUUUUAAAACUGUAAAGGUUUAUGUGUCCUUUAUAUCAAAAUGGGUUAAUAUUCGUUUGUUGUAUCCCUACAAAAAGUUUCAUGAUUUUUGGAGGUGAUUUGGAGAUUGUUUCACCUAACUAACUAACAUAAGUGAUGGAAAUGUCAAAUAAGGAAUGAAAGUUCGAAGUUGGUGACAUAUUUUGAAGGAAAAACUUUCCAGGAUCAAGAAAGGAAUUAACUCAUCUUCGAGUGUCAAAUAAGAAACUUUCUCUAAGAAGAAUCGAAGAAUAUUCUUCAAAUACAAAGAUGGUAAUGACCAUGUUUCUAAUUGGCCCAGUACACACUUGUUAAAGUUUAGCCGCGUUCGUUGUUCGUGUGUCGUGGCAGCCCCGUGAUUUUGAGAUGGAAGGAUAAAGAACAACACAACUUUAUUACGCAUGCAUUGGGUGACGUAAGCAUGCAAUCCCUGGAUGACUUCACCAAGUCAGCAUAUAUCAAGUACAGUUGUGUUUUCUUCCCCACGCUACCACAAAAAAUUGUAGUCCAAAACCACGUCUCAGUCAUCCUCAUUCUAUGCCAAAUUUUUGUCUAUUUUUCCCUUGCUAAAUUGCACAAUAAAUGUGUUCUUUUUUUCCAUGAGUGAAGAGUAAUGAAGCAUGGUCAUUUUCUUGCCCAUCUGGCCACCUUUGUAGAAUGUUCAAGUCUAAAUGAGUUAUAUUUGGACAGGGGUACACUAUGGGAAACAACAACUUUGCCGAGUGCCUGGGAGCACUUGGCGAAGCCCCUAAAACACUCAACAAAUACCUCCUUUGUCGAGUGCCCGAUAUAAUGCACUCGGUAAAUAAAAAAUACUCGGCAUUUUAAAUGUUUUCCGUAGUGGUAGUACGUAUUCAAAAUCGUGUUCCUCAAUGAACUCGAUCAAGUACUUCUGAAUACAAACCGAGACUAAAGGGUCUGAGGACUUUUGUCCUUUUUCACCCACCCAUGGGGGACCCUUUAGUCCCGGUUGGUGUGAUUUUUUCACCUGGGACUAAAGGGUCUGUCACGGGUGGCUGAUUUUUGACUCGGGACUAAAGGGGGCUUUAAUCUCGAUUGGUAUUUGACCCGGGAUUAAGACCCCUUCAGUCAUAAGCCAGCUUUAAACCGGGAUAAAAGGAGGCGCAUGGAAGAUGAGUUCUCUACCAGUGAUACCAAUGCUAGACUUGUUUUAACAUUUAUUUCAUUUCAACAAAAAUUCGAAGCCAAAGACUAAAUAUUUACAUAACCAGGAUGUAUAUAGAACUUUUUGACUGCUAUUUGUCAAAAAAAAAACACCAUUCCUUGUUAGCCAAUAGCAUAGCAAAAUCUACCUCACAAUAUCAGUAUGCACAACCAGGAAGUAAAAAAAAAGCAUGAAAUCAAACAAAAAAAACAAAUCAAGUUUUACAUUCAAGCUGGUAUAGUCCUUCUGCUUGAUAUUUCUGUGCAAAUGGAAUAAAUCUUAAAACAAGUCAAACUGGGAAAUUUGCGGGAGCCACCUUGCUAGUUUGCUAGAAAUAAAAGUAGCAAUUAGGAUUUCAUUCUAUGCUAUAUAUAUACAGCCUCAGGCCGGGCUCUCCAGGACUCCAAACUGUGUACUCUCUUCAUUGUGUGGUGAGGUAGAGAACUAGGGAUCCCACCCUGAUAAGAUUCCUCUGGUGGAGAAAACCGUGGCUACUGCCGACAUGGCUUUGGCACCAAGUCCCACUCCCCAAGUUGAUGCUUUGCUACGACAUUCGCAACGUCAUGAUAUGCUAUCUUUGGACUACGUGGUAGCCCUGUUCUUCGUGGCCGUGGUGGCCAUGUUCCUUUUGCAUAUAUUGGGUCCGUUACGCCGGUGGUUGAGCCACGGUCUCCUCCAUCACAUCGUGAUGGGAGUCUACACUCUCUCCUACCCAUUGGUGGGCUACACCAUUGGGCUGAUGCAGUCUACCAAGUAUUUGUACUUGAACGACUUCACCGUGUGGGCUGUGUUCCUGCUUCUGCUCCUCACCAGCACGGACAGCCUCACGGCUUGCCGCCUCGACGACAUCGACAACUGGAAGAGCAUCUACGUCAAACAGCUCUUUAAGGGAUUCAUCGUGGUGUUUAUCGUUCUAAAGUUUUGCAUUUACAUGGAGUUGGCUUCGAAUUUGAACUACCUGUGGUACCCGCUCUCAGCCAUCCUGGUCGUUAUCGUCCUCAAGUCAUAUCUGAUGAUAGCUUCCAUGAGGAUGGUGAGCAAGUCCUACCACGGCAAGAACGUGAAGGUGAUCGCCGAAUACAUGCAGCAUAUAGACAACAAGCUGGUGGCCUUCGAUCCUGUGACCAUGGAAGGCUACCGGUACAUGGUCGCCGGUGAGAAACACUGCGUUAACCAGCCUGGGCACACACCAUGGUACAAGAAGCCGGACGACUUGAAGCUUACCACCGUGGAGCAGAUCUGGCAGUGCGAGGGGAAUCUGCUCAUUGGUGAUCAGGGCAAGGUGCUCAAGGACUUGUGCCUCUCUAUGGCUCUCUCCAAGAUGCUCAACCGCAGGUUUGCUGGCUUCAAGCUCUCAGAGGCAGAGCUUGAGAAAACCCAUGACUUCGUAUUCAAAGGCCUGCUCGCCGGGGAUGAGCAGCGGGUCUUCAGGGUCAUUGAGGAGGAGCUUGUUUUUGUCCAUGACAUGUAUUACACAAGGUACUCUUACCUCUACCAAAAGGGUAGAUACCUGGCUCUCUGUCUGCCUGUCAUCAUGUCUGCCCUAUGCUUGUGGCUCACAGUGGCCAGCCUGCACGUCAAGCGUGACGAGCACACCGAUCUCAGUAUUGAUAGCUUU
Molecule: long non-coding RNA, 45210 nt
Filed under: Setaria italica (foxtail millet)
Lineage: Eukaryota; Viridiplantae; Streptophyta; Magnoliopsida; Poales; Poaceae
Description: long non-coding RNA (SITA_LNC006324)
Source: RNAcentral